This 85755-nucleotide long non-coding RNA is filed under the name Fragaria vesca (wild strawberry). RNAcentral describes it as "long non-coding RNA (FVES_LNC003773)". The record is from RNAcentral. Lineage: Eukaryota; Viridiplantae; Streptophyta; Magnoliopsida; Rosales; Rosaceae.
AAUCAUACAUCCUAAUCUCUCUCAAGCAGCAUUGCUUUUCCCACCGAGAGAUGACCUGCCUGAAAAGUAUAUAGCUUUGAUGGAAGGGUGGUCGAUUGCCGUAAAGAAAGUUGCUACAAGGAGAUUUGUAUUUGGUGCGAAAGCCAUAUCUGCAAUUCAAGAUGAAGCGAAGAGCGAGUCCGUGCCCAAGCCAUCACGAGUUCAGGCCGUCUCUGGUUUUCUCUUGAAACAUCUUCUCUCUGCUUCUCGGGCAUCAUCAUCAGGUAAAUCAGUUUAUGUGUCUUCUUAAAAGUGCACCACAUGCAAUUGCGUGAUUGGCAAAGGAGGGCUAGGCGUGAUUAAUUAAGCUAGAGAAGACAAGGUUUUUCCAUUAAUUGUUAGUGAGGCUUGCUCAAAUGCGAGCGUACAAGAGUUUUCAGUAGCUUUAUUUCUGCUGCUUAGGUUAUACCGGAUUUGUUUUGUAAGUUAGAAAAAUACAACUUAUUGGAUAUUGUUAUAAGCAUCUAAUUAAUGAUAUGAAUGAAAAAGAAAAAAGAUCGUACACUUAACAUUUUUCUGCUAUUAUUUCAUACUUAUUUUAUAUUUUUGUAUUACAUAUACUGUACAUAGCUUAAAAAUGAGAAAAUAUAUGAACUUUUGCAGGUACUACUUCAACAAAACUUUCUAUAGCAGCUCAGGUAGUGAACUUAAGAUCACAGAUGAACAUGGAGACAACGUUGGGUAAUGCCAUUGGAAACCUGAUGUGGUGGGCUCCGGCCAUACUAGAGUUAAAUCAUAAAGCACGAGAGAGCAGCGAUCCUAAGCUGUGUGACUUGGUUAUCUUGCUCAAUGAAUCUGUCAAACAAUCUAACAGUGAUUACUUCGACACUUUCAAGGGUAAAGAGGGAUAUGGAAGAAUGUGUGAGCAUCUAGAUAUGGAGGGGACUGUAAGUUCUGUAGAACCAGCACCAGAGAUAUAUUCAUUCUCGAGCUGGACUAGAUUUUUCGACCAAAUUGAUUUUGGAUGCAUGGGGGAGGUCAUCUUGGAUUGGAGUUACCGGAAAACAAUCUGCAUAUUGGAAUUCCACAGUUUUAGUACCAACACAAUGUGAUACUGGAAUUGAAGCGUGGGUGAAUCUAGAUGAAGAGAAAAUGGCUAUGCUAGAACAAGAUCCCCAGUUUCUAGCAUUAGCAUCUCCAAAGACCCUAAUUUCAAGGUAUUGAUUAUGAAAGAUUAUGUGGCUCGUGCAAUGUUUCCAUUUGCAGUGAAUAAGGAUUAAAUUAGUUCCCCGGCCAAUUAAUAAGAAGCAAGGUAUGAUAGACUAUGGCUACGUAUGUUAGUAUGUUAUCCGAAUGUGCUUCGUUAUGCUUUUAACCAAUAUAGCUCUGUUUUGUAACAAUGCUCUAUUGAGCUUCUAACUAUAGAGUUAUUUUUCUUGAUUAGAAAAAGAAACUAUGCAAGUUUUGUUUUGUUAAGCUAUUCUGUUUCUAAAAGAAAGGCUAUUCUGUUUCUAAAACGGGAUGCAUGUAUUACCUAAAAAGAUGAUUCACCUAUAAUUAUUUUUCAAGUAAAUGAUUAUUUGAUAGCAAUCACGCCGUGUAUUUCUAUAGCUAAAAUUGUAAUUUAGAUCAGUGACAACAUGAUUAAAAGUUACAUAUUCUGAUACAUUUGUUAUUUAACGACAAGUGUGGCCAUAAUGCCUCACCUAGUCACCUAAUGCGAAGACCUCUACGAGAGACUAAUGUCGUCUGAUCUUCUUUUCUUAAUCAAAAGAAACGAAAAUGGCCACAAUGCCUCACUAUUCAUAGAACCAUACAAUAAUUUGGAACAUAUGCAUGGAUGCAAAGAAAAAUAACACAAGAACCAUCAUAAUUUCACAUUAUAUGAGAAACUUAGCCAAAUCCGAAUCACAUCCAUGUUGGCCAAGAGUGACUAAAGAAGACCACCCAGAAAGCUAGAAAACCAUAAAAUCCAGAAAACUUGAAUAAGCUAGGGAAAAAACAAAAAUGUGACAUUCCAUUUCUUCUUGCGGUUUUGUUAGGCCAAAUCAAAAUCUCAAUGACCCUGCAAUCAUUUACACACACUCUUUCUCAAUCUCUGCAAAACUGACUGCUUCCCCUGAAAACUUGCGCAAUAGGGUACCUAGCUCUCUGGCCUUUUCUUUCUAAUGCACAAUUUAUGGCUUUUGGUAAUGAUGAUUUUAUGCUUGUGGAUCUCAGAUGGGUUUGUUUUGUUUUGGGAUUUUUAUAAAUGAAUGCAUUGAAAAUGUUGAAAGCUUAUGCCUUUGUUCCUUGGUUCAGUGUUCUGGUUUUGUGUACGUACGAGAGUUGAAAUGUGAUCUCUAGUAUCGGUAAAGAGAAAUGUUCUAACCAUGCUAGUGUUAGUAAUUUAUCUUCUAAAGUUGUUUGAGUACUUUACUCUCUUACUUUACUAACUAAGCAUAGGAAAUAACGACCUAAACUACCUGAUUUUCGUUAGUGCUUGUAAACACGAAAAUUCCUGUAACGAAUAACAGAAAGACAUGUGUACAAAAUAAUAUAUUUGUAUUGAUUGAAUUUGCGGGUUACAAUCUCUAUGGGUAUUCUUUUAACAAGAAUGUCCUCUGAUUCGAUCUCCGAUGUUGAUUUGAUCCAAGGGUGACAAGCACUUGAUCUUGAAUUGAACUGUUGUAGUUUGAACUUCUUAUUGUGUUGACGAUUUGUAGAAGGAAGUUGACCAAGGGCCAUAGAGGCUUGAUCUUGGUCGAAUAUGGGCCGCGAGAGGUGUCACGUGGUGAACGUUCUUCGACUUGAUAGCGGAUGAAUCGGCACGUGUGUUUGGUACUUGUUGAUUCUCCACGAGGUUGUUGAAGAACUUGGUAGAAGUUUUGAUUUGUUGAAAGACUUGAAGACGAGGGUUGAUCAAGGGCCGUAGAGGCUUGACGUUGAUCGAGUUUGGGCCGAGCAGUUCCACAUGGUGGUUGCUCUUCGUCUUGUAGUUGGUGAAGAUGUCAGCUAUUUGGCAACUUGGGACUCUUCGGGAUUUGACAACCUAUAGGCUUGAGGUUGAUGAAGAAUCAACUAUUUGGCAGCUUGAUGAUUCUUCAAGGGUUUUGGGAGAAUUCUAAACUCUCGGGAGUAAUUUUUCUCUCUUGUCUGAAAGUCGUCCUCUUGAUAUGAGAGGGGGUAUUUAUAGUGUUAAUGCUCCUCCGUAAAUGGAAUGCAUUGAAGUCACAGCUUUAAUUAUAUUUCCUUAAUGAUAUAAUUAAAUCAAUCACUUUUGAUUGAUUGAUUCAAUUAUUCAAUUUCCCAUAAUUAAAUCAAUCAGUCUUAAUUGAUCGAUUUAGUUAUGAUCGAUAAGGUAUUUCACUAAUUUGAUUAAAUUCCGACUUCCUUUUCGAUAAUUGAUUUGAUUUGAUUGAUGUUUGAUUAUCGAUUGACAUUUAAUAUUUUAUUUUAGUUGGGAUUGAUGAUUUUGUUGUCGACCGACCAUUCACACGCCGCCACGUGUUAUUUUCGAAGACUUUUCAACUUUGCUGACUCACGAGCCACGUAUGCACGAGACUUUUCAACGUCUCUAAUUUACAUAGUAAUUGACGCAAUUUGGCCGAACUGUUUCUAAACACACUAAGCUUCAGUUCUAUAUAUACCGCGUACCACAUGUUUCAUCAAGUGUCAGAUAAUACAGAACCUACUUCGCCAAAAUGGAGAAAAUUGAGGUCAGUAUAAUUUCCAAACACACCAUCAAACCAUCAACUUCCUCUUCACCACUUCAGCCUUACAAGCUUACCCUGCUCGACCAGCUCACUCCUCCAUCGUAUGUCCCCAUGGUAUUCUUCUACCCCAUUACUGGCCCUGCAGUCUUCAAUCUUCAAACCCUAGCUGACUUAAGACAUGCCCUUUCCGAGACUCUCACUUUGUACUAUCCACUCUCUGGAAGGGUCAAAAACAACCUAUACAUCGAUGAUUUUGAAGAGGGUGUCCCAUACCUUGAGGCUCGAGUGAACUGUGACAUGAAUGAUUUUCUAAGGCUUCCGAAAAUCGAGUGCCUAAAUGAGUUUGUUCCAAUAAAACCAUUUAGUAUGGAAGCAAUAUCUGAUGAGCGUUACCCUUUGCUCGGAGUUCAAGUUAACAUUUUCAACUCCGGAAUAGCAAUCGGGGUCUCCGUCUCUCACAAGCUCAUCGAUGGAAGAACUUCAGACUGUUUUCUCAAGUCGUGGUGUGCUGUUUUUCGUGGUUCUCGUGACAAAAUCAUACAUCCUAAUCUCUCUCAAGCAGCAUUGCUUUUCCCACCAAGAGAUGACUUGCCUGAAAAGUAUGCCCGUCAGAUGGAAGGGUUAUGGUUUGUCGGAAAAAAAGUUGCUACAAGGAGAUUUGUAUUUGGUGCGAAAGCCAUAUCUGUAAUUCAAGAUGAAGCAAAGAGCGAGUCCGUGCCCAAGCCAUCACGAGUUCAGGCUGUCACUAGUUUUCUCUGGAAACAUCUAAUCGCUACUUCUCGAGCACUAACAUCAGGUAUGUAAAAUCAGUUUAGCAACAAGCCAAAUACUAAAGCAACUAAAUAAAAACCUAUUGUAUUUGGGGUAGUCCCUUAUUAGCUGUUGUCCUAAACUUCUAACGAUAUGAACUUUUUUCUCAAAAGAAAAAAAUAGUACACUUAACAUUUUCUGUUAUAAUUUCAUACUUAUUUAUAUAUUUUUAUUACAUACAUAGCUCAAAGAAUGAGAAAAUAUAUGAACCUGCAGGUACUACUUCAACAAGACUUUCUAUAGCAACCCAGGUAGUGAACAUAAGAUCACGGAGGAACAUGGAGACAGUGUGGGAUAAUGCCAUUGGAAACUUGAUAUGGUUCGCUCCGGCCAUACUAGAGCUAAGUCAUACAACACUAGAGAUCAGUGAUCUUAAGCUGUGUGACUUGGUUAACUUGCUCAAUGGAUCUGUCAAACAAUGUAACGGUGAUUACUUUGAGACUUUCAUGGGUAAAGAGGGAUAUGGAAGCAUGUGCGAGUAUCUAGAUUUUCAGAGGACUAUGAGUUCUAUGGAACCAGCACCAGAGAUUUAUUUAUUCACGAGCUGGACUAAUUUUUUCAACCAACUUGAUUUUGGAUGGGGGAGGACAUCAUGGAUUGGAGUUGCAGGAAAAAUUGAAUCUGCAUUUUGCAAUCUCAUAACAUUAGUUCCAACACCAUGCGAUACUGGAAUUGAAGCGUGGGUGAAUCUAGAAGAAGAAAAAAUGGCUAUGCUAGAACAAGAUCCCCAGUUUCUAGCACUAGCAUCUCCAAAGACGCUAAUUUCAAGAUAUUGAUUAAGGAAGAUUAUGCGGCUCGUGCAAUGUUUCCAUUUUGUUGUGAUUAAGGCUUAAAUUAGUUCACCAGCCAAUCAAUAAGAUGCAAGUAUGAUAGACUCGGUCUACGUAUGUUAUCCGAAUGUGUUUCCACAUGCUUGUAACCAAUAUAGCUCUUGUUUGUAACAAUGCUCUAUUAAGCUCUUCUAUCCAUAAAGUUAUUUCUCUAUUAAAAAGAAAACUAUACAAGUUUUGUUAAGUUUUUAAGGUAAGAUGCAUGUAGUACCCAAAAAGAUGGUUGACCUGUCAUUAUUUUCAAGUACAUGAUUAUCCGAUACAAUUACAUCAAAUAUUUCUAUAGCUAAAAAGUAUGUAAUUUUGAUCCGUGACAACAUGAUUAAAAAGUUAUAUAUUAUGAUGCAUUUAUCCUCUAACGACAAGCAUGGUCAUAAUGUCUCACCUCAUCACCUCACCAAGCGCGGAUCCAGUUCACAAGUGGGUAAGGCUCAAGCCCAACCAAGAAAAUUGGGGGAAAAAAAAACCUAAGUAUAGAUAUAUAUUUUUUUGGGUGAUAUAUCAUAUAUGCCCAGCCAUCAAGUGACCAAGCCCAACCCACCUAACUCAACCCAUCCCACUAACUACCCAAGUCCACAAUCAUCACUCAUCACUCAUCCACCCAACCUCCUUCAUCGAAGGAGUCCUUUAACUAAUCAGCUUAAACACCAAGUCUAAAAGUCUUCCCUGCUCUUCCCCUCCGCCUCCACUCAGUCACUCACCUAUGACCUAUCCCGGCUAUCCGGCUAUCCCUCUUCCCCUCCAGUCCUCCACGGCUCCACCAUAAUCUCCUUCUUCCCGGCCUCCUCCGGUCCUCCGAUUCCUCCCGGAUAGCGACGACUCGCCUCCGGCGGUCCGGACCUCCGCGGCUCCGCCUCCAGUCCUCCACUCACCUAUCCCUCUUCCAGCUGCUAGAAAGCUUGUUCGAGACUUGGUCCUCCACAGACAACCCAUUAGUCCAUUACCCAUCUUUCUUCACUCUCAGCCAGCAUGGUUGUACUAGAAAUUUUUUUUUGGCCUUCGGCCAAAGUUCAAGCCCACCCCAUCUUUAAAUCAUGGAUCCGCCACUGCACCUCACCAUAGUGUCCUAUCCUCUUAGGAGAAGGUAGGCACCUAAUGCAAAGGCCUUUAUGAGAGACUAAUAUCGUCUGAUCUUCUUUUCUUAAUCAAAAGAAAUGAAAAUGGCCACAAUGCCUCACUAUUCAUAGAGCCAUACAAUACUCUGGAACAUAUGCAUGGAGACAAAGAAAAAUAACACAAGAACCAUUAUAAUUUCACUUUAUACGGGAAACUUAGCUAAAUCCGAAUCAUGGGCGGAGCCAACCCAGGUGAAAUUUUGAAGCCCAAAAAAUUACCUGAAACAUCGUCGUUUGGGUGUAGGUUAUUUCUCCGUUUACUUCUUCUCAAUCUUAGUCAUAACUCACACCAUUGCGUCCGUAGCCCGUCGUUGUCGCUAGAGCGGUCGCCAUUUCCCAUAGCCCGCGCCGUCGCCCGUAGACCACAUCCCGAGUCAGUCAGUCCCCACUUGGCUACUUCCCCAGGUAUGGCUCAAUCGGAUUGCUUAUAUUCUGAUCGUGGACAUAGCAGGCUUCAAUUCAAAAGCCAUCAUAUUCAUAUGCUUCAAUGUUGCUUUACUUCGUCUAUAACUAGAGUUUCAGCUUUGCUUCGUCUUCAAUGUUGAUAUGUUGAUAUAAAAUAUUAACUUGAUUAGGAUUUGUUGAUAUAGAAUAUUACCUUGAUUAGGAUUUGUUGUUAUGUAAUAUGUAUUAGGAUAUUUAUUACUCAUAUUAGGAUUUGUUAUAUGAUCUUACAUCCUUACGAAUGAAUAUACAUCAACACAAUCGAAAUCUGCAUGGUCAUAUUAGCCUUAACUAGUUCAGUCCAAUUCAUAUUAGUCUUAAACUAGUUCAGUCUAAUUCCUCAUGGGUAUAUGCUGAACUUUAAGAUGUUGAUCUUCUAUAAUAACUGAGUUCGAUACCAGAAAUCUUUGAUGAUUGUCCACAUAUGUUAUCUUAUAAUCCUAUAUUAAUUUGUACUAAUCUCAUAGUCUUAAUUUGAAAGCUCCUUAUACGUCUUAACUUGGAUAUGGAUGUGGAUUUGAUCUUAUUAUAUGUAAUAUUAAAGUGAAGUUGUUGUAUUACACAGAAUGUUUGAUGAAUAAAUAACAAAUUGAUCGCGUCAAAAGGCUAGAUCAAAAAAUUUCUUGCACCAUCGAACAAAUUUUCUUGUGUAUACAAUUUCAUGGUUCCGCCACAUUGGCAACAAAGAGUGAUUGGAAAAGAAGAACACCCAGAAAGAUAAAAACCAUAAAACUUGUUUAAGCGAAAAAAACAAAAGUAUGCCAUUCAUUUCUUCUUGCGGUUUUGUUAGGCCAAAAAUCAAAAUCCCAUGAUACCCAAUCAGUUACACACUCUCCCUCUCAAUCUCUACAGAACUGACUGCUUCCCCUGAAAACUUGCGCAAUAAGGUACCCAUCUCUCUGGCCUUUUCUUUGUAAUGCAUAUAAGUUCCUGUAAAUUUUAAAGCUUUUGGAAUGAUGAUUUUAUGCUUGUGGAUCUCAAGAUGAGUUUGUUUGUUUUUUUCGGGAUUUUUAUAAUGAAUGCAUUGAAAAUGUUGAAAGCUUAUGCCUUUGUUCCUUGGUUCAGUGUUUUGGUUUUGUAUACGAGAGUUGAAAUGUGAUCUCUAGCUUGACUGUUGGUAUUGGUAAAGAGAAAUGUUCUAGAAAACCAUGCUAGUAUUAGUAAGUUAUCUUCUAAAGUUGUUCGAGUACUGUACUAAGCAUAGGAAAUAACGACCUAAGCUACCUUAUUUUCGUUAGUGCUAGCUGCUAUGAGAAACUUACCCAAUUCGUUGUUAAAAAUAGGGAAAAUACCCAAAUACUCAAAAAUUAGAAAGCUAAAACCCAUUCCAAUGAAAUUAUAAUCCUUUAGCUCAUUCCUAUGUUACACCGAUACUCCACCCCACGGACACUCCAACACUCCCGACACACCGAUAUCGAUACGAUACACCAAAAUGUGUGUCCGACACGCCACGUGGCGUGUCAAAAAAAGUUGACUUUUUAGACACGUUACGUCAGCCUGAGACACGCCAAGUCAGUGUGUAUUGAUUGAAAAAAAAAAAUACAGAACUAAAAGUCUAAAACCUAAUCGAAGAGGAAGCCCACUUUAAAGAAGCCGCAUAGAAGAGGAACGAUGUCACCGUUCACUAUCACUGCGAGAACGACGUCGUCUGUCCAUGUCAGUGUGAUUGUUCCUCCGAUGACACCACUCUGCGAGAACGACGAGAACAGCGUCGCCUUUCUCUGUUACAGCGACUCGUCCUCCGUCGGCCUAAACCCUCUCUUUAGUGUAAGGUUAAUCUUAAUCUCAGCUUUGACGUGUUUGGUGAUUGCAGUCUCAUUUGCAGUAACAGAAAAGCAUAUAAGAUUUUAAUCAUUUUAUGAUCAUUCUGAUACCACUUAUAGAUUUUUAAGGCAAUGUGCUAUUGAAGCAUCUGCACUGUGAUGUUAAGUGUCAUGAUAUUGCUCAAUUGCUGAUAGGGUAGGAUGGAGCUAGACAUUUGAGACUUUGCAAAAUUGAGUUUAUACCUACUAGUAUUAGAUCAUCAAUUAGUUGAGAGUUUGUAGGAGGUCAGGUUUUAUACUUGGUGAGAAACAUCGGCUCAUCUGUAUUUGUAAGGAAGAUUUAAUUGAAAGGAGUUGUGUAUGGAUUGCUUAUUUGUUUAUCUUUGCUCUGUUAAUUGUUAAUAUGUUAUGAUAUGCUGCUGUGUCUAUGCUGAUGUGCUUAUGCUACUGUGUGUCUAUGCUACUGUGUCUAUGCUAUUGUCUUAUGUUGUUUUGUUGGAUUAUUAUGAUUAGGAUGAGUUCAAGUGCGACAUCUACUGAACCUAGUGUUGAAUCAACUAAGCCUGAAAAAUUAGAUGCUCCUCUAUCAAGGAUAAAGGAUGAUGCCAAUGCAUGCGUGCCUUGCUCUUAUGUAUUUUGAAUAUCUCAGUUAUGGGGUUUUAGGCAGUUGGUGUUAUUAUAGGGUUAGGAAAGUCGGAUUUUCAUUCAGUUUGAUGAAUGUGUUGAAUUAGAUAAAACUAUUUAGUAAUCAUCCUUUAGAUUAAAUAUUGACUCUCUUUUAUGUUAUUUGUUACAGUUAUGCAAUUGCUUAAAUUUAGAGCAUUAUUUAAGCAAUGUGAUAAAUUUAUUCAUAUUUGAGCAUUUUUUUAUUAAUUAGAAAUAUACAAAUAAGUAAUUAUAUUUGCCGUGUCUAAGCCGUGUCGAAAAUGUAGUCUUUGAGUUUUGCCGUGUCGCCGUGUCAGUACGUAUCGUGUCGCCGUAUCCGUGUCCGUGUCCAUGUAACAUAGGCUCAUUCCAAUGAUUCUUAUGCAAAAGACAUUAUUANNNNNNNNNNNNNNNNNNNNCUCUCUCUCUCUCUCUCUCUCUCUCUCUCUCUCCUCUCUCUCUCUCUCUCUCUCUCUCUCUCUCUCUCUCUCUCUCUCUCUCGGUGUACGACGAUGCAAGGUUGAAGACGCAGCCUCCUACUGAGUCGACGAGACCGCGCUCGUGGUCGUGAUUCUCCUCAACAGCGACAUCGAUUUUGGCGGCACCUCUCGGAGAUGAUCCUCAUCUGCCAGAACCUCUGCAACAAUCUCUAGAGCCCUAACGAGCACAUCCGGGGCGUCACGCUCCAGUUCCUCUACUGGUUGAGCAAGUUGGAGAUUGUCCGGCCGUUGAUUUCAUCGAUUUUGGCCAAUCUAGUCAGAGAUUGAGGUCUGUGUUUAGUGCAAACAUGGAUAACGUUCUUCUUCUCCUUUUUUUAUCGGAGAUCGUGUUUUUGUUUUUGUUUUGGUCAGAGAGAUUGUGGUUUUUUCCCCUUUUUUUUUCAAUAUAAUGGUUAUUAAAUGAUAGUAUCUUGAUUAUUGGAGUAAUUAGUCUAUUAUUGGGAGGUAAGAAGUAUCUAGUGGAGGUCAAUAAACAUUUAUUGACCCCAAUAUUGCUUUUAUAAAUUUUUUUUGAGAUGUAGGGAUUUGCCUUAGAGGUAAAAACUUCCUUUUUAACUCGAUUACUAGGAAUCAUUAACUGAUUAUUGAGGUUAAGUAACUGAUUAUUGAGGGUCAGUAAGUGAUUAUUGGGGUUCAGUAACUGAUUAUUGGGGGUUAAUAACUGAUUAUUGGGGGUCAUUUUGAGAGUCAGUAACCGAGUUAUUGGUGAUCAGAAUCCAGCAACCGGAAAAAAUCUGAGUUACUGGGGGUCAGUAACUAAGUUACCGGUUAUCGGAAUCAGGCGACCGGAGAAAAUAUGAGUUACUAGGAGUCAAUAACGGCGACCGAAGAAAUUUCUGGCAACCGGGGACCGGAAUCCGGCGACCGGCAACCAGAGUCCGGCGGCGGGUGACCGGAGUCCGGUGAGAUUCCGGCCAAGUAUUCUCUCUCUUCCACUUUCUCUCUCUAUACAUGUUGAAGUGGUGAGAGUAAAAUUGUCUUAAAAAUAUAUAAAAAUUAUUUUUUAUUAUAACAUUAGUAAAGAUUUGUGCAUAAAAAAUGUUACCUUAUAUUGGAAUGAGCUCAUGAAAAAGAUUAACAUUAAAAUGGGGAAUAAGAGGUUUAAAUUAGUAUUAAAUUGACAUUUUCCCUUUAAAAUAAUAACAGAACCAUCAAUGCCGUGAUAGUCCCUUAAUAUUUGGUGGCUAAUUAGUAAUGCAUUCAUGGUAGUUGUGCUUAUUUUGUGCAUGUAUUCUAAUUCUAUCACUUGCAAAAUCGUUGUGGAAGGUUAAGAGGAGAAAACAGAAAAUGGGGCAGCAUGCAUCUCAUUUUAUUUCCGAUCAUAUUUUCAUAUCAUAGACGUUCACUAUUUAGAUAUACAUGAGUUGAUCAUCUCUACAAAAUUUCAACUAAUUUAGUUAUCAUUAAGGUAUCGAAAAUGUAUUAAAUCAAUGAACGAACCGAAUCUGUUCAUCCUGAACUGUACGUUCUAUUAGUUCUAAAUCACAGUUUUGAAUGUCUUAAUGAUUAUCAACUUGGCUGAAAAUUUAUAUAGAUGAUCUACUGAUAUAUAUACCUAAAAUAUGAACGGUUGAGAUGAGAAAAUAUGAUCGAAAGUGGGACAAAUAAUGAAAUCCGUACCUUAGAUAAGGUAAGGAGGUCCUUACCUGAUCAAGAUUGUGUGUGUGUGUCUAUAGAGUUUAGGGUUUAGAGUUUUAGGGUGUCAUGAAGAUAUCAUACAUCCUAAUCUCUCUGAAGCAGCAUUGCUUUUCCCACCGAGAGAUGACUUGCCUGAAAAGUAUGCCGGUCAGAUGGAAGGGUUAUGGUUUGCCGGAAAGAAUGUUGCUACAAGGAGAUUUGUAUUUGGUGCGAAAGCCAUAUCUUCAAUUCAAGAUGAAGCGAAGAGCGAGUCUGUGCCCAAGCCAUCACAAGUUCAGGCCGUCACUGGUUUUCUCUGGAAACAUCUAAUUGCUGCUUCUCGGGCACUAACAUCAGGUAAAAUCAGUUUAUCAACAAGCGUAAUGUAUUUGGGGUAGUCCCUUAUUAAUUAGCUGUUGUCCUAAACUUCUAACGAUAUGAACUUCUUUUUCAAAAGAAAAAAAAUAGUACACACUUAACAUUUUUUCUGUUAUAAUUUCACAUUAUUUAUAUAUUUUUAUUACGUAUAGUGUACUGUGUACAUAGCUCAAAGAAAGAUAAUAUAUAUGAACUUGCAGGUACUAACUACUUCAACAAAACUUUCUAUAGCAGCCCAGGCAGUGAACAUAAGAUCACGGAUGAACAUGGAGACAGUGUUGGAUAAUGCCAUUGGGAUCUUGAUAUGGUCGGCUCCGGCCAUACUAGAGCUAAAGUCAUACAACACCAGAGAUCAAUGAUCUUACGCUGUGUCACUUGGUUAACUUGCUCAAUGGAUCUAUCAAACAAUGUAACGGUGAUUACUUUGAGACUUUCAAGGGUAAAGAGGGAUAUGGAAGCACGUGCGAGUAUCUCGAUUUUCAGAGGACUUUGAGUUCUAUGGAACCAGCACCAGAGAUUUAUUCAUUCACGAGCUGGACUAAUUUUUUCAACCAACUUGAUUUUGGAUGGGGGAGGACAUCUUGGAUUGGAGUUGCAGGAAAAACUGAAUCUGCAUAUUGCAAUUUCACAGUGUUGGUUCCAACACAAUGCGAUACUGGAAUUGAAGCGUGGGUGAAUCUAGAAGAAGAGAAAAUGGCUAUGCUAGAACAAGAUCCCCAGUUUCUAGCGGUAGCAUCUCCAAACCCCCCAAUUUCAAGGUGUUGAUUAAAAAAGAUUAUGUGGCUUGUGCAAUAUUUCGAUUUUGCAGUGAAUAAGCCAAUCAAUAAGAUGCAAGUAUGAUAGAUUCUGUCAAUAUGCUUGUAACCAAUAUAGCUCUUGUUUGUAACAAUGCUCUAUUAAGCUUCUAUAUAUCUAUAGAGUUAUUUCUCUAUUAAAAAGAAAACUAUGGAAGUUUUACCAAGGUUUGUUCUGUUUCAAAGGUAAGAUGCAUAUAAUACCCAAAAAUAAUGUUCACAUAUAGAAUCACAUAAAAUAUUUUCAAUACUUUAGAAUCUAAUUUGGGUUCGUGACAAAAUGAUGGGAGAAUUUGAUAUACACCUAAUUUUGAAGAAUGGUUUUUAAUAAAACUCAUCUAAUAUUCUUUUCUGAUAUACAUCUAAAAUAUAUCAAUGUUCUAUUUUUUUCUAAAAUUUACACAAUUACCACCAUUCAACUAUAACAUAUAAACAUAAUAAAUAAGUUUAAUUGACGAUAUAUCUUUAAUACCUUGAUUAUGAGUUUUUUCUUGUAACACCAACACUUUUCAAUCAAUUUGCAAGAAUCAUGUAGGUUUCUUUAUUUUUAUAAAAAAAUCUAGGUGAAAGAAAUUCAUUCUCUGAUCUAUACAUAAAGUAGAAUAUAUUAUAAAUAUAUAUGAUCUAAACCUUAAAACCCUAAACCCUAUACCCUAACCCUAAUACCUGACUUGUAGGAGUUGGAUAUAAUACCUGAAUUUUAGGAGUUGAGUGAAAUAUUUGACUUCUAGGAGUUGGGUAAAAUACCUAACUUGUAGGAGUUGGAUAUACUACCUGACUUUUAAGAGUUGAGUGAAUUUCUGACCUCUAGGACUUGGGUAAAAUACAUUAUUUGUAGGAGUUUUGUUUUUCUUUUACUACCUUGUCAAAAUGUAUAUUGGUUUAGAUACCUCAUAGCUAUGUUAUCUAUUAAUGUCCUAUUCUAAAAUAAGCAAAUAUACCUAAGAAGAAGACAAAGUAAUCUAAGAACACGAUAUGUGCCUUAUAAUGAGGAACACUUAGUGUAAGUAUUUUCUUGACCAUUUUCUAUUUCUUGAUCUCAUCUCCGUGCUUUUCUUUUCUUCAAAACCUUUCUUCGACUAUCACUUGGAGAUACAGGCGAGAAAUACCAUGAUGGUUGCCCUCGUUCUUUCUUGCAUAUCUCAAUAUUCAGAUCAAAAUUUGUAUAUGCAUCAUCAAAGCUUAGAUUUAUGUUUACAAUUGAUGUAGCUAUUCAAAUUUGAAGAAAGUUAGGAGCUACAUUUGAGGAAUGUCUUCUCAUUUAAUUGGAAUGGCAAAAUUUUCUCAACAAAACAAAGAAAAUCGGAAGGGCAAAAAAGUAAGAAAAAAAAUGUGACAAUUUAUAAGGCAAGUUCAAUAAUGUGAAUUGGGUGUAGAUUAAAAUGAAAUAUAUGGGUAUGGAUUUAUCUUAAAAAUGGCUUCAUUUUUUGGGUUUUUGUCUAAUUUUCUCCAAAAUGAUUGAAGAGGUACAUAUUUUGAUACAUUUGUUAUUUAACGACAAGCAUGUACAUAACACCUAACCUAGGAGGAGGGUGUACGUAGUGUCCUUUCCCUUAGGAGCCUCUCGCGAAGGCCUUUCUCAAGGGACUGAUAUAAUAUAAUAUAAUUUUUUCUCUUUUUUUUCUAAUCAAAAGAAACGAAAAAUGGCUUCACUGUUCAUAAUUUGGAAUAUAUAGUGGAUUAUACGGUAAUUGUUUUGAGGGAGCUUCUUUCUCAUGUAACAUCCCAAACUGCACCUCUUCAGUUUGAGCACGUAACAGUGCCGCGAAACUUUAAAACAUAAACCGAAAGCUAUAAUUAUAUCCUAAAGUAACGCAAGGCAUUUUUGUUAAAACUUAUCGAAAAAUACAACGGAAGCUAAACCGAAAUUUGAGGUGAAAACGUUUAGUUUUUGAAAUUCUAUUUGUCGUAAUUUCAAUUCAAAUGCUCACCAAGUAUAAACAGAUAUUAGGGAAUAAACAAACAAAUAACCGUACUAGAAAACAUAUUUUAACGAAGUCCAAAACUACAGGACUCGAGAGAAAAUUUAAUUGAAUUAGGUUAACAACCAAACGACAAAUUAUAAACUUUGACAUGCACACCCAGCUCCGUCCUCCACUGUCCCGUCAGCAGUGCACAGUACCUGCACACACACACACACACUAUUGUAGGGGUGAGCUUUCGUCCUCGCUGCUCAGUAAGAGCUGUUCUUGACUAGAUUUGAAAAUCAAUAUUCAUGGGUACCCAGUAUAAAAACAAUUUAAAACCAAAUGCUUAAUGUAAACGACGUGAGUUAAAAAUCAAUGCACAUAUUUCAAUAAAACUAGCGCCAAGUCCAAACAUCACCUGAUGGCCGGUCCUCAUCGACCCACUAUCCAACUUACCUCAUUUUUCUUGUGUACAACAGGCAAGUGUAGUGAGAGUGUCCAAUUACGCCCUAUCGCCUAGAAGCAGUGUCACUCCACAAGGGAUGUAAGACACUCUUCCGUCCAUAAAGGCCCCUCCGGAGGUUUAGGGGAUCGAAACCCAAGGAAGUCGCUAUGCCCCCCUCACUCUCAAGCCAUCAAUAAAUCUCACGGUUUGGUCAAUAACAAUCAUAAUGUAUAACCAAACCAAACAUGCAUCAUUCAUAUAAAACAUGGGAAAAGCUUUAAUCAAGAAAAGUCAUGAAUCCCUUACCUGGAUUCCGACGCUUUUCCUCUCGUGCUCCACGAGUCAUGAACCUUUCGUUCCUUGAUCACAGGAAUUCCUGAUGUCCAACAUUAAUGUCGUUAACAUAAUAUCGACAUAAAUAUUCAAGUAUCGACGAUUAGUAAAUCGUCAAAUCAACUCAAGAGUUGACCAACAUUAUCCACAUUUGACCACUCAAUACUAAUAGUCAUUCUUGACCAAUUAUGUAUCUUGAACCCAUUUGAUUUACAAAUACAUCAUAUAGUAAGCCCAUAUAGAAUUACUAUAGACACCCGUGGUACUUAGGCCACUUUUCUUUAAACAUAUGCUUGAUUUCAAUUAUCAUGUCAAAACCAUUUCUCUGCCCAGGAGUUGAACUACACUCCUAACCAAAUUAAAAUCAUUUUCUUAGUCCGAUGAACACUACCACAAAUUCAAACACAGAGCUACAAUUCCUUUAUAUACGAACAGAAGCCAAGCCUAUCAAUCACAAUCCAAUACUCAGUAGAAGAAACUAACUUCGCAGUUCAAUACUUCAAUACUAAAUAUACAAACAUCAUUCUCCCAUCCUUAUAUCUCAAUCACCAUAACUAGACUCUUUUAAAAUCAAUAUCAACCUUUCUUUCCAGCCAAGACAAUUAUACAUAAGAGAUCCUUAAUAACAAUUAAACCAAAUUCUCAAUUCACUACCAAAUCGGUAAUUUCCAUUAGAUUUCAAUACCAUGACCAGCCCUUCAUCCCAUUCACUAUAACCUCCCUAUAUACUUCAACAUGAACACAGCAGUACACAAAGUGUCGAUCUUUACAGAAUUAGCCACACACAACACAACCCAAAUACCUUCAGCAUCUUUCUAUUUAUCAAACACCAACAUCCUAUUUCAUUCUAACUAUAACAACUAAACAGAAACUUAACUUCCAACUGGUCCAUAAUCAACAUAAACACAGUAAUACACAACUAGGCACCAGACUUUUAUAGAACUAGCCACAACGAAAUGCACAACUCAAACAUCUUCAAUAUUAUCAAAUUUAUACCAAUCAGCAACCAACAACAAUCUCUAAUUUACUUUUCGAAUUUACCUUCGAUAAUCUUGGUCAAAACAGAACUUGCUCCUUCACUGCCCAAAACUUCUUGUUGAAGAAUCAAUGACCCAAAACUCAGCAGCCCUUCAAAGUCCUGGUUCACUAACGCAGCAGAGACCAAAACCAAACCCAGAAACAAAGGAGGUGGGGACGAAUUCCGUCAAGGGCAGAGAAACAGCCCAGAAAUCCCAUAAACUAAAGUCAAUAAACUUCAAUCUAAACUGAAAAAUAAUUACCCUAGAACGAUGAGGACGACGAGAGAAAGGAAACCAUACCAAGAGAAGUCGGCUUCGCAGCCCGAAAACCCAGAAAUCCGGCGGAAAACUCGAACCUUCUUGUCGUCGUUCCUCCUCCUACGGUCACCGAUCGAAAAAAUGAAGGUUAGAGGAGCAUCGGGGACCUCAAGGCGGUUUGGUCGGUGGUGGCCAGUCGUCGGGUAGCCACCGGACGGUGAGGCAGCAUUGAUGCUCGACGUCGGUGUCGGGGAGAGAGACUGUGGUGGUCUGACUAGUUGACUGAGUUAGCCCCUUAGGCCCUUACAUACUCCUCACCGACUUUAAUUCCAGCGGCUAAGAUUGGACGGUCUAAAUUUUAAUGGUCCAGAUCUCACCGCAUAAAUUCCUUAUUAUUUUCUAACUUCCCAAAAUCAUAUAAAGUAGCUCGGCACUCUAAUUCCCCGAAAAUUUCCAUGAACUCAUCAAGGUACGUAUUUUAAUAUCAAACUCUAAUAUCAAGGUUUUCACCUUGUAGAAAUAUCUGAAAAAUAUCCUCGAGCACUAACUUAAUAACCGAAAUCGUAAACCAAUCCACGAACGAUCUCGAUAUAAUAAGCUCGAUAAAUUUCCGGGGUAUUACAUCUCAGGUCAAGGGUUCCAAUGAAUUUGUGCAAUGAGAUUCGAUUGGCAACAGUUAUUUGGGUAUCAACUCUCCGAUUUAGCACUCAUCAGUACCUCAUUGUUGUUGACGAUGGCAAUGAUGACGUUAGCGAGCAUGAAUGGUGUGCGUGGUAGAUUUAUUUGUAUUGUUGCAUUAUUGCUUUCGGAUGUAAGGGUUUCACCCUGUAGAGAUUAGCGAGCAAUUGGUCUCAUCUCAUUCUUUCUAUCUUGAUCGAGUUGGAGAUCCAUACACUUUAUUUGUAGUACUUUUUUUUCCUCACGUUUACAGGCUUUGUAAUUCCCUUGAUUAAUAAAUUAUCCAUUUUUCAUCCAAAAAAAAAAUCUGAAAAAUAACACAACAACCUCAUAAUUUCGCUUUAUGGGAAGAGACUUAGCCAAAUCCGAAUCACAUCCACGUCGGCAACAGAGAGUGACUCGAAAGAAGUGUGCACCCAGAAAGCUAAAAAUCCAUAAAAACCAGAAAACUUGAACAAGGGAAAAACUAAAGUAUGACAUUCCAUUUCUUAUUGCGGUUUUGUUCUGCCAAAUCCAAAUCCCAUGACCCAAUCAUUUACACUCCCUCUCAAUCUGUGCAAAAUUGACUGCUUCCCCUGAAAACGUGCGCAAUAAGGUACCUAGCUCUCUGCCCUUUUCCUUGUAAUGCAUUCAAGUCCCUGUAAAUUUUGUGGCUUUUGGUAAUGAUUUUAUGCUUGUGGAUCUCAAAUGGGUUUGGGUUUGUUUUGUUUUGGGAUUUUUAUAAAUGAAUGCAUUGGAAAUGUUAAAGCUUAUGCGUUUGUUCCAUGAUUCAGUGUUCUGCAAUUUGUGCCUUCUCUUCCGGAUCUGAUGUAUGUGAUGUUCUAGCUAGUUGUCUAUUGGGUUAAAAAGAUAUUAUCUUUUGAUUGUUUUUGAUAGAACAUCAACAUCAAUGAGAUGAAUCUGAAGUAGGUUAUUAGUUUGGAGAUAUGUUAAUGGUUAAUGAAUCAAGCUGAAGUUGUUCUGGUUAUUGGAGCAACAGGUUCUAUACUGAAGCAUCUAAUUUUGAAUUUGCAAAGAGUGGUUGACGAGUUAUCCUUGGGAUUGGUGGGUGACAUUGAAAAAGUGGAGUUGAAAUCUGUUACCAUGAUGUGGGUUCUAUUAAAAGACUCAUUCUUGAAUCUGGGGUCAUGUCCUGUGAUGACCCAAUUCUUGCAAAACACAACUGAGAUGUGUCAAAAUGGGUUCCGGAGCGUUUUUAUAUAUCGAAGUAUCAUGAGUUUCGAUACUAAGUGAGGGUGCUGGAUAGAAUUGAGUUUGGAGGUUCAAUGCUUCAAAAACAAAGGAGCUAGAGGAACGUAAUUCUUGAUGAUUCAAGACGGAUCAAUUACCUUGUAAUUAAGUUGCUGAUGUGCAAUUGUUGAGGUUAUGGUGUUUCCGGUUUGGAUACAGAUAGCUAUUUCUGUUUUAAGUAUAACCAACAUGUGUUGUAUCCUACAUACUAUUCUUCUUCAUUUACCUGUCUUUGAUCUGAUGUUCCAUUGGCAGAGCUCCCUUAUGCUAAACUGUAAAACCUGCAUUCCAGGUGGUCAUUCUGUUAGUAGAACUUUGGAAGGUCUCUGAAAGUAAACACUCGUCGACAAAUUUUGGGAGCAGUUGCAUAAAAGGAAUGGUCUCCCAACUCGGAGAUAAUGGAGACGCGUACUGGAAAUUCCCGUCCCAAUAAAAAGCAAUCUUUGGAGAAGUCUAAAUCUGCCACUGAAGAGAAAAGACCUGCAGAAAAAGAAGCAAACACUUCUGUGUUUGUCAACUAUGGUAAGUUCAUUAGAUAGUAAGUACUGAGUUUUCCAACAUCGCUGUAACACCAUGCAACUAACUCAGUACUGUAGAUAGACAUCUAUGUUAGUCUCUUUAGAUAAUAUGCACACUUUAACUUUUCAAAUGAUGUCCUCCAUUAGUUAAAUAGUUGUUCAAAAUCUCGUAUGUCACAAUAUUUUCCCAUCUCCAAAACCAGGUGUCCAUAAUCAUUUUCCCUCUUUGUUCACUAAACUAGUAAACUCCUCACUUAGAUUAAUGUUCUAAAUCUUUUAGUUUUUGUUCCAUCUUGACAUCACUUGUGGCUCAUUACUCCCCUGUAAACCAACUUCUACAGCCGAUUUAUACCAAAAGGAAUUCGACCUCUCAUGAAUGAGAAAGGUUUUUUUUUUUUUUUUUUCUCUUUUGUGGGGAAAGAAGAAGUAUGCAAUAAUUUUGGAAGUAACCUAUCCCCUAUCACCAUUCCUUGCAACAAGCAAUUACUUCUGGCAUUUUGUGGUUGAUGUUGUUCAUUUUGUAACUUUUGUUCUUUCAUGAUAAUAAAGCUAAUUUCUCAUGUAGCUGCAAUUGCUUGGCAUGAGAGUAGAAGAAAGUGGGUAGGGGAUCAGCGGCUGCAAAGAAUGGCCAAAGAUCCAAUUAUAAGGUAUUUUCUCCUCACAAAGGUUCCUGGAUAGAAUGGGGUUAGCAAGUCAUGGUUAAAGAGUUACACCUUAAAGUUUAUAAACAAAAGAAAAGUUAAAGAGCAUAACUGCCAUAACUUAUAUUCUUUGUAGGUACAAAUGAACUAAUUAACACUGGUGUGUCACUUUUUAGGAAAUUACACUUAUAUUUGAGUAUCUGUCACUCUGUCCACUACGUGCACUUGACUUGCUGAUCCGUAAAUCCUAGAUUUUUCAAAAUUGCUCCUUAGUCCUUUUGUUUGGUGUGUGUCUAUAUUAGUAGCUUUGUCCAUUUACUUGCUGUUAAAAAUUGUAGCUGCUAUAUGAAUGUCAGGAAGUUAAAUGUGAAAACUUUAUGCUGCAUAUUAUAGCACCAUUGUAAUGAUUGAUGAUAUUAGUGUCUUUGUCCAAUUAUUUUCUGUUCAAUUAUUGCUACUUCUUGAAGAUAAUGUGGAAAGUUUAUGUUUCAGCUGGUCAACAGCCUAUGAGGAUCUACUUUCAACCAAUGAGUGUUUUCCUGAGCCGAUCCCCUUAACUGUAAGUUGAUCAUAUAAUAAUAGCACAUACAUGUCCAAUAAAUAUCUUCUGAUUCCUUAGGUGUUACUGUUUUCCCUUGUUAUUUCCAUGUCCAAAGGAUAAAAUUUGUAUGUUAUUAGUAUUAUCUUGUCAAACCUUUUUCUUAAUAUUGUGAAUCUCAAUAACUGGUACAUUGUGCAGGAGAUGGUUGACUUUUUAGUUGAUAUUUGGCAUGAUGAAGGUCUGUUCGAUUAGGCAGUCCAGAAAAGUUCAAAGUAGACCCUCUACGAUCCCUGAUUACAGAUGAUAGUCUAAAUCCUUGUAGCUGAUUAAUCCCAUGAACUGGGAAAGCUUUGGCACAUAUGAACAACAGUAAAUCUGAACUGUUCCCCUAAUUCUUUGUAUGAUAAAACUAGAUAUUGUUAAACAUUGCCGCUACUGUGGGGAAACAAAAAAUGAAUGCAUCCUCUUCAGGUCAGAAUGAUGAUCUAUGAAUAACUUUCAGGACAACUAUGUUCUGUUUCCAGAUAUCAUCAGAUAUUCGGAUUUGAGGUCCUACUGAGAAUCAUGUAAUCCUACAAUCCUACUUUUACUUCUUUUUAUGAACUAAACCCUUUGAGGUAAUCAAAUGAGGAUGCAACAAUGACUCAAGUCUCUUACUAUGUCUUCAACAUCGCUAAUGACCAAAUUAGUUAAUGGUUUCCAGCAGCAUUGAUAAAUUGAAAAAAAUUAGAGAUUUAUCAAUUUUUAAAUGAAUUUUUGCUCCAGUAGUAUUAAGAAGUUGAUAAAUUUAGAAAUUGAUAGAGAAAAUUGAUAAUUUUAUCAAUUUUGGGGAGACAAUUAACUAAAACUUAGCUAAUGUAUACAAUUUAGCGCAAUACUGCUGGAGCAAAAGUUCAAAAAUUGCUAUUUUAAAUCUAAAUGUUGAUAAAUUUAGCAAUAAAUUUAACUCUAUUACUGGAGAUGCUCUUUUCUUCUGUACUUACUGAGAUAAAGAUAAUUUUCUUGGUGUUAAACAACUUUCUCAUUAAUUUUUACCAAGAUAAACUUGACGUAUUGUUUUGUAUGUACCGGUUUUAGCCUUCGAUUUUUCAUUUGAUUUUAGUGAUAUAAUUAAAAACCGCGCGUACUAGGUGGUGGGUAGUUUCCUCAUUUCCUGUCCCACUUUGGAAAGAUGAAGGAAACGCGGAGACGAAAAGUCUCCGUUUCUAAAGGAAGAACAAAACCCGAUUCCAUCUAAACAGAGUUUUUUUUUCCGUUCAAAACGUUGUUUGAUUUUCUGGGGAUCAGAAGGAGCUUAGACUCUGAGAAUGAAGAAGUUCAAGAGCAUGUUGAAGCCGAAGCCAAACCCAACAGAGCAACUCAAAGAUUGGCAGAGACGACUUCGCCAAGAGAGCCGCAACAUUGAGCGCCAGAUCAGAGGUGAUCGUCUAAGUUUUGUGUUGGUUAAAGUUUCAAUUUUUAUUGAGGAUUUGGUUUUGUUGUGUUAUUGGGUGACAUGUGUUUGUGUUGUUUUGGUGUGAAAGAUUGAUGGUUUUUCGUUUGGUAGAUCUUGAGAGAGAAGAGAAGGUGGUACAGAAAGCUAUUAGAGAAGCUGCAAAGAGAAAUGACAUGGGCUCAGCCAAGGUAGUGCAAGUUUUUCAGUUGAAAAUGUUACUCAAUCAUGAAUGACUUGAUAGAAAGUUAAAAACUUGUUGCAAAAAAGUUUGUGUUCUUUGAAGUGGAAGGGAAAUCUAUUUGCUUUGUAUGUUGUUUUGUAUGUGAAUUUAGAACACAAUGCCAAUAAUGGCAGGAUGAUGUUUUAGUCCUUGGAAUCUUUUUCUGCUACAUUUGCAUGUAUAUCUCAAGUGAAUUUUGGGUGUUUUAGAUUCAUUGGUGUUGCCAUUUAGAUUGUAGAACUGCUAGAUGUGUGCUUGCGUAGCUUUAGUACCGUGUGAAUUUAUGUCUUGAUUUGAUCUGUGAAUUAUUUUCAGUCACUUGCAAGGGAGAUUUUGGGGUCCAGGAAAGCUGUAAGUCGCCUUCAGGAGAAUAAAGCCCAACUAAAUUCUAUAUCUAUGCACUUGGGAGAAAGUGUUGGUAUUGCUUCGUACUCUCAAACAGUAUUCUAGUUACUGCAUAUGCAUUUGUACUAUCUGCUGAUGUAUAAGCUAAUUAGCUUGAACAAUCUCAAUAACUUGGUGCAUCAUACGUCAUGUUGCCUUUGUAUCUUUUAUGCAACUCCACAAUCCAUUCCCAGCCCCUUUUCCUUGGCUGAAAUUAGUUGUGUGAUAUGGUUUAUGUUCUUGCAGCACUUGCCCGUACUGUGGGACAUCUAUCGAAGAGUACAGAGGUCAUGAAACUUGUCAAUGACCUCACAAGAGCUCCAGAAAUGGCUGUCACAAUGCAACAAUUUACUAAAGAAAUCACCAAGGUAAUAUCCCACAUUGGGUGCUGGUUGCCUGUUAGAACUUUUUCUACCUCCUCUAGUUUCUUAAGUGCUAGCUUAAUUCUGUCUCUCCUCUUGUCUAAGUGGGAUCAUCUGUUGUUUUACUGUCUGUUCUGGUUUGUUUAGAUGACCUAAGAUGCUUAAUGGUGAAUUCAUCUUGAACCUGGAGCGUUAUUUUUUCAUUGUUUGAACUUCUGUAACUAUCUAUUUCUCUUGUUUAAUCAACGAACACCGAAAGUACAUUGAAUUAUAAUGUCUAAAUAUUUUUUGGAUAGCAUAGAAAGGAUGAAUUGUAUCUAAGCAGUGAGAGGAACCCUGUGACUGGAUCCCAGUGUUUGAACCGUGUUUUUUCAAUAAUGUGUAACAUUGAAUACCAUCUGAACUUUCAGGAAAUAUACUGAAGUGUACUUGUUAGGUGCUUGUGUAUUAUAUCUAUAUAUCUACUUGAAAUGUUUGGGUGUAACACUUUGGUCAUACAGGCUGGGCUAAUUGAAGAAUUUGUAAACGAUGCUCUUGAUACAACACUAGAUUCGGAAGAUAUAGAAGAGGAAACUGAGGAAGAAGUUGAGAAAGUUCUGAGUGAAAUAGCCGGUGAGACGGCUGCCCAGCUUCCGGAAGCUGUCAGGAAAGAGAGGACCAAGUUACCUGCCCAUGUAGCUAGUGCAUCACAAGAAGUAUGUGUUAUAUGAUAACCAUUUCUAGUUUUUCCUUGCUCAUCACAAGAUUCCAGGACCUAAAUUCUUGUUGCUAACUCUUGCAGGAACAAGCUAUAGCAGAGGGUUCAGAUGACGAAGAGGAAUUGGAAGCAUUGAGAGCACGGCUUGCUCAAGUCAGAUCGUAACUGUUCAUGAAGUUGUUUCCAUUGUUUCAUUGGCAUUAGGAAGAAUGUGGUUGUGCUUAUUCUCUAAAGGCUAUUAGUAGUACUUGUAAAGAUAUUUAGAUAAAACUUUAGUAUGAACUCAAAUAUUCUUUUAUGAACAACAUAAAAUAGUUCUUCUGUAUUAAAUGUUAUAUUACAAGGUUCGUUUAUCUUAGUGCAUGUAGAUCAGAUGCUUUUCAGGGUAAUAUAUAUAUGAUUCAAGUAGCCUUUUUAUCUUUUAUGCAACCUCCACAAUCCACCCCCGGCCCCUUUUUCCUUGGUUGAAUUCAGCUUUUGGCUUUAUGAAAUGUUUUAUGUGCUUGCAGCACUUUGCCGCACCGUGGGUGUUCUAUCAAGAAAGAUGCAGAAAUGGCUGUUACAAUGCAAGAAUCUACCAAAGAAAUCACCAAUGUAUUGUCCCUUUCCUACCUCUAUUUUUUUAAUUUUUUAUUAUUUUUUUUACUAGUGUUAGCUAAGAUACACAGGGGGAUUUCUAAGCUUAGAUGUAAAAUGCUUCAACCAUGCAUUGCAGCACAAUGUCUUACCACAUUUAUAAUUUCAAGGAUCAAACUCAGGUUGGGGAGCAAGAAUCAAUAGGCAAGAACCACUAGGCCGCUUGCAGUGGUUACCUAGCUCUAUCUACUUUCAAGUGCUACCUAGAAUAUCUAGUGCUGUCUCUGCUCUUGUUAAAGGGGGAAUUUCGUCUCUUAUCUAGUGCUCAAGAUACUUUGCAAGUUUGCAUGGGUUUAUUAAUUUGAUGACCUUCAGGUCUAUCAGAUUCAUGCGCUGUUUGUACUAUAGCUUUUGCCCGAAAGAUCUGUUUAUCAAGGAUACAAAUAUGCUCGAUCGGCAUUAUAUAUAAGCUCAUAUGGAUCAGCUAUGCUAAUGUCUAGUGACUCUUGUUUUGGAUGUCCAUCAGCUCCGCCCUUCUUAGUUUGUCAUUCUUAUACGCUUGGUGGCUAGUGCUUGGAUCUGUCGACUGUGCUUUUGUAUACGCUUGCAAUUUUCAUCAGCUCCCUAGCUUCUCACACCUCUCUGGUCUUUACUAAUGCGUCGGCAUAACAAUUAACCUCCUACACACAACUUUCAAACAAUAUAUCUUCUACUCCUCCAUUCUGUUUGUUUGAACUUGGAAAGUUGGAUGUGAUUCUCUAUACGUGACAAAUAUGUGCUGGUGGUCUGGUGGCCCAUAAUCUAACAUGAUAAACAUGAAGUAGGGUAAAGGAAAAGCAAUGGCGAAAGCUGCAGUCGGCAAGUGCCUUCCCAUUCUGUCAAAAUGUUAUUAAAUGACAUAUUUAUCCUUUUACACAAUGACUAUUAAAGACACUAAUUAAACAAAAAGUAAUAUUAUAUUUAUUCUCUCUAAAUUUUCUAAUUCAAUAAUAAUUGAGUGCAUUUUAUUAUUUUCCUUAUUGAUUUUCUAAUUUUAUCACAUACUUAUUAAAGCAUUUAUAUAUUUAUAUUAGCCCUUUAUAUUAUCAUACAUGUCACAUCCAUAUACAAAAUGAAAAAAUAUUUUUACAAAAACUAUAAUCUAUCAAUUAUUAAAAAAUAAAUAAAUAAAUAUCAUAAUAUUUUUACAAAAAUUAUGAUAUAUCAAUUAUUAAAAUAAUUUAUCAUCAUGAGGUAUAAAAACAAAAAUAUAAACUUACGAAAAAAUAGUUAUGUAAAAUAGAAAUACAAAAGUAACAAAAAUAUAGAAUAGUUCAUGUAAGAAUAUUCGUUUGAUGAUCGAUAAAUAAAAUUUGAGACACAAUCCUUGUUUUUUUAAUUUUUAAGAGAAUAACAUUCUUCAUGAUUCGAAUUAACUUUUCUCGAAAAUUGAUGUCAUUAAAAAUUAUUUCUUACAAUUUGAUCAAAAAAUGAAUGUCUAGUGAUUUUUUAUGCAAAAUAAAAAAAUUCAAAAAAUAAAGAAAAUCAAGAAAUCAAGGUCGGGAAUGGAGGUUUGCGUUAAAAAGAAAAAAGAAAAAAAAAUUAAAGAAUGGAAGUUGGGAAUGGAUGUUUGCAUUUAAAAAGAAAAAAUGACAAAAAAGAAUUGGAGGUAUAGUGAGUGAAUAAGAGGUGUAAUGAGUAAUAUAUUAAUAUAUAUGUGAAUUACAUAAACAAGGCUAUUUUAGGAAUUUGAAAGGAGGUCUAAUAAACAAAUGCUUGUAUUUAAAAGUAAAAUGGAGGUGUAAAGAGAAUGAGAGGUAUACUGAGCAAAUUUGGAGGUCCCAAUAACCACACUCUUAAUGAUAUUAUUGAAGUGGGUGAAACAAGAAGGUCUUCGAGUAAUCCUCAUUUUAGUCGAUAUUGGAAUUUGGAAGGGCUCCCUAGCUAGUCUGCGGUCAAUUAUCCAAAUAUUCAUAUCCGACUGUAUUCUCUCUAUUUCUCAUUAACUUUAGGGGAUGGAUGUCACACUCACAUUCAACAAUAUAUCAAAGUAAAUUAUAUGCAAUUAUUCCUUUUGUUUUGUGUGGUCUAUGUCUCAUUUCAAUUUUCAAGUCUUAGUCUUCAGUUUAUAGUCUACCCGGCCUCGUCUCGAAUCAGUUUAAGGUUCUCUUAAUUAUCAGAGUCACUGACAGACUGAGUAUGUCUCUGAUGAGAGUCACUGGCAGUUGAAGCUUCUCUUAUCUUCCUCUUUCAUCUAACCUCAUGCCUCCUCUUCCUAAAUGCUAUUUAUAUUUUACGGGUUCUUUGUUUAGACAGCUUUCUUUCUUUGGCUGAUUGGUUCAUUUCUCAAACAGAAGAAUAGCUCAGAUCUUCAGUUCAUCAUUGCAGUAUCAUAUUUCAACAAUGAAACGCUGGAAAGAUGAGGAAGACCCCGCUGAACCAAGGUAAAAUUAUCUUCUAUUUAUUUGUAUAACCAGGAUUUGUUUGAUAGGCUUGUAGUUUUUGUAAUCCUUUUUUCUUUCGAAGAUUAAUUAGCUAGGCUACGACUUGAAGAUAAAAACCGAGAUCAAAAAUCAUUUUCCAACAAUAACUAAAAAUUAGUCCGAUAGGUUCUCACAUUUCUCUGAGCCAGGCACCAUUUUCCUUUAUUUUUUGUUUUUUUUUUCUUCCUAAAAGCGACUCCAUAGACUUUCACUUUCGCGUAUCUUCUAAAAUUGCAGUCAUGGUAAUUUAUAUUAGAUCAGCAUGAACUCCCAACACACAAAUUUUAUAUAAUUACAUAAACAUAAGUAAUAGAGAUAUAUGACUUAUUAGAUCCUACAUACCCAUGUAAACCAAUAGUACGUACAUCCGUACUAUUGAUACGUACAUACACAAAUUUUAUUUUUUUUUGUAUGUCGUACCCUGUGUUAUAGGUGCUGUAUGAAUAUAUCACAAAGGAUACCAAGCCUGCUCGGAUGCAUAUUUUCAUGGUGAGUUGCAAUCUCAUGAAGUCACUUAUUCCUUUAUAUCUUGGUGAUCAACGGGCAAUGCGGAUGCCAUGGAAUGGAAAAAAAUUAGCAAGGCCGUCGAGGCAUCUUUUGUUUUCCAUCCAUCACAAAAGAAAAUAGAUAUGAACUCUCUCCACGUAAUGUUGAUUUUACGCUACAUACUUCGUUUUCGUAGUUUACGCUACCCUUAAGAAGCACAAAUUGCUGAUUGUUAGGCUUGGAACAUGUCUCUUCAAAGUAUUCCGGAAAAUUCUUGACAAUCUUGCGGAUUUAAAGUGGAAGGUCGGAUGCUUCUUCCGGGAGAAAAAUAGACUUGUAAUAAGACCAUGGUGGGAUAUAGUACUUGUAAUAUCUUGUGUCAUUGCCGUCUCACUGGAUCCUUUAUUCUUUUACAUUCCGACCAUCAAUGAGGAAGAAAAGUGCCUUGAAAUGGACACCAAGUUGAGGACUGUAUCUCUCGUUUUGCGAUCAUUCACGGACAUCAUCUUCAUUUUAGACAUUUUAGAGCAAAUUUCUAAGGCUUCAACAAUAGCUGAGAUAUGGUGGUCACUUGCAACAGACUUUCUUUGUAUACUUCCCGCUCCACAAGUAAGUAAACUUGUACUGUUUUUAAGAUAUAUACAUGGCUAAUAUCGAUGAAAAAUUAUGAAAUCUGAAGUUAUAUAUCUAUUUUGUGUUAGCUUGAAUCAAUUUGUCACUCACUUCUACUCUUAUUAAAAUUUGUGUGUUCAGGUGUUGAUCGUAGUCAUCUUUUACAAAAUCGAUUUUGGAUAUUUGAAUAAUUCAACGAUUAUGAAUGCUCUUCUUCUCAUUCAAUAUGCACCAAGGAUUUAUCAACUUAAUCAAUCGUUUGACAAUCUUGAGCAUGGUAUCGGAUUAUGGGUCAAAAUUGUAUUCAAUUUUUUCCAAUACAUCCUUGCUUGCCACGUAAGUUUAAAUUAUUUUGUCUUUAUAUAUUCAUAAUUCUCCUUAGCAAGGGUUUUACUUUUCUUAGUGCUUUAACAAUAUUAGUAACCAAUUUGCUUGUCUUUAGAUACUUGGAGCCUCGUGGUUUUUCUUUUCUAUUCAACGAGAGAUGUUAUGUUGGUACCAAGUUUGUGUAAAGCAUAAGACUUGCGGAACAUAUUUCAAGUGCAACGACGUCAAUAGUUCGAGAAAUAUCACAAAACUAGUUGAACUUUGUCCAAUGAAUCCACCAAAUUCCACCGUAUAUGAUUUCGGGAUAUUCGUUAAUCCUCUGGGAACUAGUAGCAGAACACCAAUAAACUUCUCGACGAAGUUCUCAUACUCCUUUUGGUGGGGAGUGCGAAAUUUAAGGUUUGCAUACACACACACACACAUCUAAUGUCGUCUUCAAUUAUGAUUAUAGCACCAAGUCGCUCAUAUAUAUUACUAUAUUAGCUCCAGCCUCUAAUUCUUCUUUCAUUCUUUUGUAGUAAUUUUGGCACAAAUCUUCAAACAAGUACGUAUCUGUGGGAAAAUUGGUUUGCAAGUCUGAUUUCCAUCAUCGGCUUGCUACUCUUUUUAUAUCUCAUUGGAAAUAAUGUUCAGGUUCGUAUAUAUUGAAUCCCCCUACUUGUUAUCAUGCUUGUCAACACUGACGAUUCAUUAUUCCAAGAUGUUCAAGUUGGAAAGAUUGGAUUCCGAUAGGCUCAUGCACAUGCAUCUCACUCGCGAUUCAUCAUUUUUGCAUUAUUAACCAUCGUCAGAACUCAGAACUACGAGAUUAUGCAUAUAAUUUACAAGUAUACCUAUGCAUGGAACUGAGCUAGCGAGCUUGUUAUUGUUUGUUGGGAGCAGACAUAUAUGCAAAUGAAAACUAAGAAAGCGGAGGAGGAAGCUGAAAGGUUACGGCUUGAAGCUGAAAGGAUAAGGCGUCAACAGACAAGGAUAAAUUUAUGGAUGGAACGACAUGAUUUCCCUUCGUUUGCAAGGAAAAACAUCGAGGAAAAAAUGACAGAGAAGUAUAAAGAAAACAAAGAGGCUAAUCUUGAUAAUGUACCGACUCUAUUAUCCUUUAUAACUUCAGGUUACAAGAGGUACGCAAGGGUUAAAAUCUGCCAGAAAAUGCUAGAGAAUGUAAGUCUUCAACCUAUAUCGCUCUGUAUAUGCAUGGAUCAUAACAUAUGUUUAUGGAAGUUACAUGCAUGCAGGUGCCAUUGCUUAAGGAUAUGGAUUUAGAUGUGUUGCUAACAAUUAGUAGAAGAAUGGAGAUAGUGGUGUACCCGGAAAAUACUUGGAUUGUUGAAAUGGACGAGCCAUUGGAUCGCAUGGUUUUCAUUACGGAAGGGACUAUGGGGAUCUACACGGCUAGAUCAGACUGUUCUCCUUCAGCAGUCAUUCAAGGGUCUCUUGAGAAAUGCAGUAUUUAUGGACAUGAACGACUACUGAGGUGGGUACUCUCACCCAACCCAGAUCUCGACCGCCUUCCUAUCUCGAAAGAAGCUGUCAAGUGUAGUACCAAAGUAGAAGGCUUUGUUCUCACAGCCGAUGACUUGAAGACAGUGCUAUCUGAUAAAGGUGUAAUCGGGGAGAAUUGUUCUGAUGAAGAUGAUGCGGAAGUUAGUGAUUCUAGUCUGAGAUCGUCAUUCCUUGUAGCAACAGCAGUGUCUCGUUUCCGGCGCCGCCUUCGAAGAAAGAAGCCUGCAUUACAUUUAGAUUUCGACCCCUCUAGCUUCAAAGGAUUAUGAGUCUGAUCCUAGUGUGACCAUUGUAUUGGUCGCACAAAAAUAUCACUGGUCGCUAUUAUAUAACAUCCAGAUAUAUAAACUUGAAGUAUGAGUCAUAAUGAAGUGCACGAUCAUAAUGAGUCACUAAACUAAACUAGACCUAAACAUAAUUGAGAACAAUUGAGUAUACGAAAGGAACUACUUCAAUUAAAUCAAAGCCAUGAAAUUUGAAGUAUGAUCACUCGCCUAGCUAGAACGGUUCACAACAUGUAACUGUGAGCCGCUUUACACGUUAUUACACCCCCUCUUUCCGUUUUUCUUGUUUAUUCCGGACCCCACCUCCUCGCUUUCCCUUAUUUUAAGCCACUUCCGUUUCUUCAAAUCAAAGCAACGAGAAGACACGUCACCACCCCAAACCAAACCGCCUUCUGCCGCGUAAUCCCCUCCAUCCCACCCCCACCCAAUCAAACCUACACAACACCUAAACGGCCACGAUUCAUUUCCCUUCCUGUACCCCACCGCACCAGAUCACCCCUCCCCAACUCCUCCACAACUACUUAACAGUCCACCAUCUGAGAGGACCGUUAGCUUUCUUUCCCAAGAAACCCAAAACAUGGAGCUCCCAACCUCUCUCCUUCUCGUCUUCUCCGUCCUUCUCUCUCCUCUGACCGCCCUCGCCGGAGUCACUGACCCCCGCGCUCUCGGCCUCGCCAGGUCCAGCUUCCCCUCCGUGCACGCCCAGCAGCUGAUCCGAGCCCUCAAUCUCUUCCCCGAGUCCGAUGCCAACAUCAUCACCGACGCCGGAGAUUCCUCUCCGAUCGGCGCCGGGAAGAGGAUCGUCGAGAAGCGGUUCACGCUCCCCAACGUCGUCGGCGAGUCCGGUGUUUCCGUCGACGACCUCGGCCACCACGCCGGUUACUUCAAGAUCGAGCAUUCUCACGCCGCCAGGUCAGGUUUUGAAACGUCUUAGGGUUUUGGAAUCAUGCAUUCUGAAAUCUCAGUGCGAAAAUUUGAAAUUUGAAGUCGAAUUGUUUGGAUUUUAUAUGAAUUUUAGGUUUGAUGAGUAUCUGAGCUAAGGGUCUAUGAAACUGAGUUUGGAAUUUGUUGAAUUUUGGGGAAUUUGUGUUUUCGAUGCGGUUUAGUUUAAUUUUUGGUGUGCUUACUGUUGAAAUUUGUGUGAUGAUGUAGGAUGUUCUACCUGUUCUUCGAGUCUCGGACCAAUAAGGAGGACCCUGUGGUGAUAUGGCUGACUGGAGGCCCAGGUUGCAGCAGUGAAUUGGCUGUGUUCUACGAAAACGGUCCUUUCUCGAUUGCGAAUAACUUGUCUCUUGUAUGGAAUCAGUACGGUUGGGACAAGGUAAUCUGUAUUUCCUUGUUGGAAGUAGUAGAUACAACUUCGGAACUACUGAUGAAUAGUUGAAUACAUUUUAUCUAUAUGCCUAAUAUGAGAAGAUUCUUAUGAUGUCGAGUAUUGGUUGUGUGUAUAAAAAUUGUUUCUUUGAUGAAGAAGAGAAGUUCCUGACAUGAGAAGAUUCUUAUGAUGUCGAGUAUUGGUUGUGUGUAUAAAAAUUGUUUCUUUGAUAAUAGUAUUACACUUUAUCUUUCUCUAUCAGUUUUUGUCAAAUAUGAAAUUGUUAGAGGGUUGAUGCUAUAUGAUGUUUUCCAGCUCGAUUGUUUAUGUUGUGGUCAUUGAAAAGUUUAUAAUCUUUUCUUAUGGUGUGGAAGGCAUCAUAAUUAAAAGUAUGCAUACUGAGUUUAUUGUGUCUUAAGUCCAUCCAAAGUAGAAUACUCUGUAAAUGACUGAAUUGAAGGUCUGUGUCUAUUGGUCUAUGUUCCUUUGCAAGAGAUCUAACAUUGCUCUUUCUUUUGCAGGCAUCUAAUCUAUUGUAUGUCGACCAGCCUAUCGGUACAGGAUUCAGUUAUAGUUCUGACAGACGCGAUAUUCGUCACUCUGAAGAUGGUGUUAGUAAUGACCUCUAUGACUUCUUACAGGUGUGUCACUUAGCCUUCGCUGCUAAAACAAUUAGGUUCAGUGUAAUUUAGCUAGAGUUACUGUCUUACUGAAUUUUUGCUUCCUAAAACAGCUGAACUAAUGAAUUACUUAAGUUUUUUAUAGUAUAUAUAAUGAUUCUCAAACUUGAAAGCAACAUCUUUUUGGGAGAAUCUGCUUUUUUCACCUUUAGAAUUUCAGUGGAGGAAAGCAAACGUUUUAAGUUUAUUAGUAUUGACUUAUUGUGAUCUUCAAUUAUGUCAGGCCUUCUUUGCUGAGCAUCCUGAGUUGGCAAAGAAUGACUUCUACAUAACUGGAGAGUCAUAUGCCGGGCACUAUAUUCCAGCUUUUGCUGCUCGAGUUCAUCAAGGAAACAAAGCUAAGGAAGGAAUUCAUAUAAAUCUAAAGGUAUGCACCUCCAAUAUUUUCUAGUUUUGAAAUGUUUAAUGGAUCCUUUUAUGGCUUAUUGGACUAACAAAAAACUGGUUGGAACAGGGAUUUGCCAUAGGCAAUGGGCUCACUGAUCCUGCUAUCCAGUAUAAAGCAUACACAGAUUAUGCAUUGGACAAUGGAGUAAUCUCGAAAUCUGACUAUGACCGCAUUAACAAAGUUCUUCCUGUUUGCGAGAUGGCUAUAAAGCUGUGUGGUAAGUGGCAAUGAGAGCGGUCCCUUCUCAUUUUUGAUUCUAUUUUUAGAUUCUUUUCUCUUUUUUACUGGUUAAGAUUGGCAAUUCUGUUGAUCAUGAUUUCAUAUUAAGGUGGUCAGUGACAAUGAGAGUGGUCCCUUCUCAUUUUGUAGCAACUGUUUUUGAAUUCUCUCUCUUCUUUUUUCUUGUUUGGCCCUUAAGGCUUGCAAAUCUACAGGUUAGGAUUGGUCAUUCUGUUGAUCAUGAUUUCAUAUUACUGUGGCUCCUCUUUUUUGAGACCCCUUCUAACGUCCCUCUUCUUUACUGCAUGAAUGUAUAUUCAUAUUUUCUGUUGGGUUGAGUUCUAUUAAGCAAGACUGUCCCAUUGCAUUUAUUAGCAACAUUGGUCGGUCAAUGGUCACUGCUGCCUGUUGGAUAAACUUUUGAUAUUUGUUUUGUUUCAGGUACUGAUGGUACAGUCUCUUGCAUGGCUUCAUAUUUUGUGUGCAAUACCAUAUUCAGUAGCAUCAUCGCAAGAGCUGGAAAUGUUAAUGUAAGACGGCUUCUAUUUCUUGCCCCCUAUGAUUUGGUCUUCAAGUCACUUCUACAGUUGAAAAACUAUUGACAUGUCGUUGUUGACAGUAUGAAUGGUCUUGCUAUAUAUUACCUCAAUCAACUUCUUUGAGCAGAAACACAUGUGAAAAUAUUGGCUGUGAUACUUUAUAGGAAACGGUUCUUCCAACUUUAAUAAUUGUAAAGCUGUGAAACUGAUUCUCAAUUGUGUUCUGUCAAAUUAUUGAUUAGCAAAGUAGUAUGUUUUUCAAAUUAUACCCAAUGACUCCAAGAAAGUAGUCUUCAGAAAAAGUUAUUUUGAAUAGUGCGCUGUGGGUCUUGCCAUCCUCAGAAAUAAUGGUGCCUGUGGAACACCUAGUAAUCUUGAACUUUAACGGUGGUUAUUUCACUGUGCAGUACUAUGACAUCAGAAAGCAGUGUGAAGGGAGCCUCUGCUAUGACUUCUCAAACAUGGAAAAGUUCUUGAAGCAGAAUUCUGUUAAACAGGCACUUGGAGUUGGAGACAUAGAUUUUGUGUCAUGUAGCCCUACGGUAUAUCAAGCCAUGCUAGUGGACUGGAUGAGGAACCUUGAAGUGGGCAUUCCUACUCUUCUCGAGGACGGAAUUCAGCUGCUUGUGUAUGCUGGAGAGUAUGAUUUGAUCUGCAACUGGCUUGGUAUGUCAUUGCCUUCUAUUUGAGAUAUUGCAACAUGCAAUGUUAUAUAUUUAUAUCAUGUGAUUCUUACCAACUGAUAUAAAUAUGUAUGUUAUAGGUAACUCAAGAUGGGUCCAUGCCAUGGAAUGGUCUGGGCAAAACAAGUUUGUGAAUUCGCCAGAAAUUCCUUUUGUUGUUGAUGAUUCCGAGGCAGGAGUUCUUAAGAACUAUGGGCCUCUUAGUUUCCUGAAGGUGUCUCUCUUCCCCAACACCCACACGGACCCACACUUGCUCACACACAUUUUAUUAGCAUUUCGCUUUAAUAAACAACAGUUGACUACCAACGAUGACCUAACUGUACCGAAUGUGUUCUAAACAGGUUCAUGAUGCGGGCCACAUGGUUCCGAUGGAUCAGCCCAAGGCCGCAUUAGAGAUGUUGAAGAGGUGGACUCAGGGCUCCCUUUCUGAAGCUGCAGCUGAACCUGAGAAACUGGUUGCUCAGAUGUGAGUUGUUCCUCAGUAUUAUAUAGAAUAUAGUGAACCAGUUAUUAUUCCCUGGUUUCUCGAUGCUGUAAAUAUACUGGCUCCGAUGCUGAAGCUUUACUCAGAAUUUAUUAGUUUCUGGACAAUAUGUUAAUCUUUGCUUAGUAGUUGUUAACUUGUUAUACUUCAAUAAAGUAAGAUUGCUUGUGGAUACUUGUGAAUAGUAAUGUGCUUGAGUUUUCUUCUGUUUGUUUAUUGUAGAUGCAUAUAGUUUAGGCUGUUAUAGCUAAAUAGCUAAUAACUAAAUGUUUACCACAAUAAACACAAAUUCUCUCAUUCCGAUUAGCUCUCCUUUCCAUACAAUAACUCAAGGUCUUAAUCUUUUGAUUGAUGAGAAAGAGAGGAUAGGCGUUGAGGAAAUGAUAAGUGCAAAAGAGAGGGAUUGUAAUGAGGGGACUAGGAAUUUGGCUAGGACUGGAGGACUGGAGCUGUGAAGGUUAAAUUGAAAGAGAGGGAAUUUGAGGAGGGGUUGUUUGAGAAGCUUAGAUUGAAAAAGGUGUUGGCACCAAAUGUAGAUGAGCUUCAUAUUAUUGCUUAUCAGUGUCCAAGAGUGCCUCAAUGAAGCUCAGAGGAAAGAGAUGGAAGUGGAUUCCAAAGAGACGAGUUGAGUUGAACGUUAAGGAAGUUGAGUUGGCUGAGAUGAGUUGAGUUGAAGUAUAGCUCCCAGAGCCUACUGCACUCCAUGUACCUAUCUUCGUUGUAUUGAUAUGACCAAUUGACCAUGAUCAUUUUGGUGCAGAAUCCUUUUUUACAUAUGGUUUUUCCUAGUGUUCCACAUGUUUUUUACCUUGCAAGAGUAACCCUUCGAGUAACUUUGGCAUACUGAAGGAGCAAACCUGAGAUAAAACUUGCAGUGUUGUUUCACAUAAUUUUUAUCUAGUUCUUCCCUACCUAAUCUAAUCUUCCAAUGCUGUAAAAGGAGUUUAGCAAUAUCAGCUGAAGAAGAAAUCACUUUUAUGUGAAAAAGUUGUAUAGCUGACACUGAUUUACAUGAUACAGUAACACACGUUAAACUUUGUUUCCAGAACACUUUGCGCUAGUUUCUCUGUUUAGUGAUCCUCCCUGAGAUCAUGUCCGUCGGAUUCCCAUACUCUUGAUUCAGCGGUCAUGAUCUGAAUGCUGCGUAUCAGUGAUGGUCUAUCUAUUUUGUACCCGCUAAAAACCAAAGUACAAAAAUGUUGACCGUUAACCUCACACACUUGUUCAACACUUGUUAAGCAUGCGAGGCUGUCAACAAGAGCUUCAUGUUCAACUCUGCUCUUGUGUCUUGUCAUUCUUGUUCUGUCUUUACUGCUCUCUCUCAUUUAAGCCUAAACCCUACUUCCUCUCAAUUUUACAAAACCUAAAGUCUUUUCUUUUCUCCUACCCAGAAACCCAAAUAAGAUGAUCUGAAAGAUGAGAGCUUUCUUGAUCAAGAACAAGGAACUAGGAACUUUUCGUUGAUGGAAAGCCCAGAAUUCCAAAGGUAUUGUCUUUAUUAUCUCUUCCGCUACUAUCAGCUCUUUUGUAUCUUCUAUGGGGUUUUAGUUUCUGUGCAUUUGCUUUUCUGGAUUAAUUUUGUGGGUAAAUUAUUGUUCUUUAUUUUUGCUGAACAAGUGUGUAAGGGUGGUGUUAGCUCUUUGGUUUUCUUAUAUGAAGAAAUUGCAAUGUCUGUGAUGGACAUUGUUUGAAGGAAGAUUUUGGUGUUGUUGAAGGCUUGAAGAAGGGAUAGGGUUUUUGGUGGAUAAACACAAUGGAGGAGGUAGGCUUGGGUUUGGAGGAGUGGGAGUUGAGGCACAGCAAUGUCGAAAGGCCUUCAAGAUAUGACAUUCCCGCUGUAAGAAGAUUGAAAAUCACUUCAACUCAACCCGGAAUUCGUUUAAGGCCCGGGAGGAGGAAAUCGGGCUUCGAGAGAAGCAGUUGGAAGAGAAAGAGUCUUAUUUUGAGUCUCUGAGGGAAUUUAAGGAGGAGGAGUUGAAUGCAAUUGAGGAGGUAAUUACAGAGAAGCUAAUACAAGUUGAACUAGUUAAGACUGAGUUGCAGUGUGUUAGUUUAUUGGUUGAAGAGAAGAGGCAGAAGCUUGAUAGUACAGAGAAGCGGUUUUUGAAAGUUGAGGAGUUGGUUAGAGAAAAGGAGAGGGAGUGUGAUUUGAUCCAAAACCGUAUUGAAGAGGGGACAUCGAAUUUGAGGAGGAUUGAGAAAUUCAUUGGGGAUAAUUUGAGAGGUGAUGGUGAACUUAAGAGGAAAAUGAGGAAACGUUAUCAACAGGCCAAAGACCUUGAAUUGAACCAGGCACAGUUUGAUUUUCAAUCAAACACGGAGCAAUCAGAACAUGCCCCUGGGGCUAACAACAAGGCAAUUCCUUUAUGUGGUAAUAAUGGUAUGUGCAUGAUGUUUUGUAUUGGUGUCCACAUAUGUUAAGAAUGCAUUUGAAAUAUAGGUGUUGUGUUACCAUAUAGGACUGACAUUCUCUUGAGAGAAGAAGAAAAAUGAAAGAAUGAAUGCGUAUAGUUCUUGCAUUAUAGGAUAGCAUUGGCUGCAUUCCCUAUUUUCUCUAACUCAUAUAGGUUAAACAAAGAUUAAGAUACAGUAAAAUCUUGUACUUUUAUUGUAGUAGCAUAAUAACAGUAGACACUCACUUAAAGAAGUUUGCAAAGCAGUGAUCUUAUAUGUCCUUUUAGGCCUGCAUAUCACAACAUUUUCCUCCUUAUCAUUUAUAAACUUUGUUAUCCAAGGCUAUUACCAAUUUAUCAUCGUUUUCUAGUUCUUCUCAUUACAAUCUAAGUUCAGUACGUGGACAUAUCUUCUGCUAUGUAUGUUCAUCAUUUGAUACCAUAAUCUUUGAUACUUGCAAAUUUUGCGUACACUAAAUUGGUGUUUUAGGCAGGCUGUCUUGAACUUGCUCAUAAAUACUAUCUGAUGUUUGAAAUAUGCAAAUACAUCGCAUAUUUCUCUGUACUUUUAGUUGCUCAUAAUCAUGUCUGAUAUGUUAAAUUCAAAACCUUGCUCGCUAACCUGUAUCUGCCAUUUUCAUUAUUUCUUAUUGCAAUUGCACAGUGACCAACAUCAUUUCUUCCCUUGCCAAAACGGAAAAACUAGAAUCAUCUCUGGCUACAAAUUCAACUACUUUUCUUUCUUCCAAUGUUCAACCAUAUGCCACCAGCUAUCAAAGGAAUGUGCCAGGGUUUCUAGAGGAUAAUAUGGGUGAGAAUGAUUCCACAGACAAUGAAUUGGCUGCUUCUCUUCGGUUGGUACCAGACCCAGCUAAACUAGUGUUGAACUACAUGCAAAAGUUUUUUGCUCGGUCCUUGAGAAAUGGACGUUUUGAAGAAAGAAUCAUGUUACCGAGUAACAUUUCCGUAUUGAAGGAGCUAUUGAUUGUUUCGCCGCAUGUCGGAUUGCAUCUGAAAGAAGAUUCGACAACUUUAGUAGCCCAGUGGAAAGAAAAGAUGAGAGGAAAUACUGUAAAAACAGAUGAAAGUUUAGUAUUUUUGAUGUUUAUCGCUAUGUAUGGAUUGGUUUCUAUGUUAAAUGUAGAUGAGAUUGUAACGCUUCUUGGGUUGAUUUCUCAGAGUAAAAGGGCUCUAGAAUUGUGUCAUGCAUGGUUUUGCAGUUAAGAUCGCUGGUAAGUUGUCAUUCCUAUUGUGUGGCUUGUGUUCCACUUUGACCAUUAUAUUAUUAUUGUUUCUUCUCGUUAAUCAGUUUGAUGACCGCUAUAAGUUUGUAUUAUACUUGGCAGAUUUCAUUCUGAUUCUGAUACAAAAGAAGCAUAUAAUGGAGGCUGUCAGAUUUAUUUGCAUCUUCAAGUUAAUUGAUAAGCUUCCGCCAAUACCACUAUUGAAAGAAUCUGUGGAGGAUGAAAAGAAGUGUUUUCAAGUACUUUGCAGGAUAAGGAUUGCUCUUGAUGAAAAGGUAUUCAGCUUUUUGAACAUCCAAUUCUUGCUUCCUAAAUAGUUAAUUGUAGGAGCAUCCUCAAUGUAUACGUAGAUUAAGUCGUCUGUACUUUUGAUCUGAGGUUAAGGCUGUAGACAACCUAAUAGGUUGUCUAAGAGCUGUGCGCCAAUGCAUCAAGGAUUACAAUCUCAAGUCUGAAUUAUCUGCACACAUUGAAAAGCAAGUAGUUCAGCUGGAAAAACUAAAGAAGACUUGGAGACUUUUGGCACCAUUCGUUGGUUCUAAUGAUGAACAAAAAGAGCAGAGAAAAAAAGAAAGAAUCUGAUAACAAGACUUGUUCUCCAGAGUUUCAACCAGGACAGCAUUCUAAACUACAAAAGUUAAUUUCUUCUGGUUUUUAGAAUGAAGAACCAUCCUAAUUCUCAAGAUCCUUUCCCGGUGAGAAGUUAUGAUUAUAGUUUAACAGACACCCCUUAUGGUACUGAUUGUGAGAUAGUUGACUGAACUGUUGGUAGAAACUAGAAAGUGGAGACCGUGCCCUCGACAUAGUUGGAUAUGUAUAUAGUAGACUAGUAGUUCUUGAAAUGGUAUCCACUGUUAAUUGGGAAGGUUUUAGCUUAUUUAAUAUCCCAGGUUAAUCUGAGCUGAUCAAGCUUAUUUCUAUCUUAAUGGAUUGUUUUGGCUUUACUUUUUUACUUUUUUGGCAACCAUAUUAAAGAAUCAACCCCUUGAGACACUUAACUCUAAGCUAAAGAAAACGGCUUCAAAGAUCCAUUAUUGGUCCAAGGUGAUCCUAAACAUGUCCAAAUGGAUGAAACUUUACAAUGUUUCGAAAACAUGAGAUACCAAAGUUAUUGAGCUUUCUUAAAAAGAGAAAAAAGAAAAAAAGAAAAAAAAAAGUUACUGAGGAACGAAACGUGGGAUACCGUCCGGAUGAUUUUGUCCAGAAGUUUGGAUAUGCCCAAGUAAAAGAACGAUAAAUUUUACUUUUCACAACCCCGUAAAACACAGUAACAAAUAAGCUCGUGUAAAUAUAACGUAAAACGGUGAAGAGUGGAAGAUAGAGAACAGAAACUGAGAAAAGUGUGUUAUUCAAAUGGCAUCUGCUCUUGCCUUCUCUCUCAAUUCUCAUCUGCUUUUGGUUCCUUCAAUUUCCUUAACUCCUUUGCUACCUCCACACAUUUCUACAGUUUCUUCAUCAUCAGCAACCAAAACCCAUCAUUGGAAGCUCAACUACUCCCCUAGAGCAUCUGCUGAAGGUAACUUUCUCCUUUUCUGAACUUCAAUUUCAGAUUGAUAUGAACGUAAUUGGUAUUGGGUAUAGGUUAAAUUCUGUGUCUUGGGAUUAAUUUGGUACUUUUUGGUCAUUGGUGGGUGCUGGUUUCCUGUAGUUACCUAUUUGUAUUUGCUUUAUGUAAUGGUGCAUGCUGUAUUUGCUUGAUACUUCUUGCUUAGUUUUGCUCAUAUAUAAGUUUAUCUGCGACUUGUUACAGGAGUGCCCGGUGAAUUGAGUGAAGAAGAGUCCAAGUUCGUUCCUCUUAAUGCUGAAAGUAUGAUAUUUGGUCCACCUGUAAGUUGUGGUCAGUUCCGCUCUAGUUAUCACAAAUGUUACCAAUUUUCUACUUUAACAUGUUCUCCAUAGAAAUCCUAUAUAAGGAAACAAAUGAAUGACUUUUGAGUAAGGAAAGAUUUUGAAACCGAUAAAUUGCCUACUUUAGUAGAUGUCAAUCCAGAUUUACCAAUAAAAUGAUACUUGUUUUGGAGCUUCAUAAGGUUGAAGAUUCAGACUUUUUGUUUUCCAGGCUUUGUUAUUGCUGGGAUUUGAACUGGAAGAAGCCGCGACGGUAAAUUUUUGUUCUCUCUAUACUUUACUAUUCGUGAAUUUGGUUGACUAGUUUUAUUGGUUCUUGCUCAUGGCGCUUACAAUAUUCUCUUGUGUGUGUUUUGAUGCAGGUACAAGAUUUUCUGAAACAGAUAGGAGGUGAUUUCCUCAAGGUAAGUUUACAUAUUUAUCAUUACUUCAGUUCCUACAUACAAAUGAACAAAAGAACAGAAUAGAGGCACACAUUCGUUGUCAGGGACAUAACACCUAAGAUCAUCAGUCAGUCUUAACCUCGAUACAGAAUUUACUGAUGGCAUAGAUAUUGUGUAAACAUUAUUUUGGCUUAUUGUCAUGUAUUAUCAGUAACUGAAUUUUAUGGAAAGUGGACGUUUAUCUCUCUCAUCUCAUUUGAGCAGAAUACUAAUCAGCAUUUUGGUUCUUGUUGUGUAGAUUAUUUAUUGUACUGAAGACAUGAUCACUGGUUCACUAUGGGAUGCAAUGAAUACAAUCCAACCCAAUUUGGAGGAAGUGAAGGUCAAAUUUUCUUCUUACUUAUGACUAAUUCUUGCUCGAACCAAUUUGAUUUGGGAUGCUCAUGAUUCACGUUUCUGUUCCUUGCUGUGCUCAUCACACAUGUUCUAGUUGUUUGUUCAGUGAUCAUAACUUGAUUUGGAUUCAACUCAUAUGAACCAAGCAAUUCCAACUGUGAUAGUAAAUUGAAUUUUACAACUUCUUAGAGAGUUUCUGAAGCAUCAUUAUACACAACCUUUUAACAUUGUUAGUUUUGUGCGAAAUUGAGGAACAUAAGAGUGGGGGAAGAGAGGAGGCCCUUUUAUGUAUCUCCAUAUUCCUUAAUUUGUCAAGUCCUAAACUUACAAGUAUAGUCUGGAAUAAUUGUGGUACAUCCUGCUCUGCAGAUUGCUAAGCCACUGCCGCGAAUAUGUUUCUUAUCUGGUCUUAGUGGGGAAGAGAUGAUGAUGUUGAUUGAUGAUUUUCCAGAGACAGGUGCCCUAUAGUUCUUUAUCCAUCCCAUAUAAAGUUUUUUUGGAUACAGCAUUCCUUUGCCGACGCCAAUUAUCCAUCCCAUACAAAGUUAUCAUUUUGUCUUCUUUACAAUGAUUAGAUUGCUAACUUUGACCCCAAAAAAGAAAAGGACUGGUAAUCUUAACAAAGCUUAUAGAUCCAUGAGUUCUAGUAAGGCAUUAAGAACUGUAAUCCUAGCAAAGCUUAUAGAUUCAUGAGUUCUAGUUAUGCAUUAACUUGAAUAAGUUCGUUGAGUUUAUUCAUUUCAAGAAUCUCAAAUGUAUGUGAUUCUUUAGCCUGAUGAUCUGAUUUUCAAGCAACUCAGAUCUACUGUAAUACCUAACAGUGAAUAACUGUGUUAUAGAUUUCCCAACAGCCUGAUUAUUUGGAUGUCACUACAUGUUUAAUUUCCUUCCCCUUUCUGCUCAUCAAUAUGAAAAUCCCAUUUAGAGUAUAACUCAUCAUCCCUAAAUUACCAUGUAGACAUGUCCUUAUGUGUAACUGGAAAUUUUCCUUUGGGUUUGUACAGGACUCGAACCAGCUGUUUUUGCAGCUCUUGUUCCCAACAGUGCCGAGAAACCAAUAGAAGAGUUGAUAGACGAGAUUAUGGCUGAUCAUGAAAUGAUAGUGAGUAAUAUAUUCUUGCUCCAUUCAUAUAAAUAUGCAGAAACCCAUCUAUCCCAUCUGAUCUCUACUACUUUCUUAUUUCCCUACAGACCAAGAAAAUGGAAGAGGAAAUGAGCAAAAAUCCGAUAAAUGAAGGUUGAAUUUUGUUUCUGUGGUUGAGACCGCAAGUUAUGUGCAUUCUAGAUAAAAUCUAGUUUCUGAAAAGAGGAAUGUAAUGCUAGAGAGGAAGUUAAGUUGCACCACCUAAGAACUGAUAUGUACAAGAUCUCAUUGAUCAGGUUAAACUUGGUUGUCAUGAACAAAGUUGGUGUACGGGAAAGAGUGUGGCUAUUGGGACCUCUAAAUUUGCUCAAUAUACCUCUCAUUCUCUCUACACCUCCUUUUUACUUUUUAAUAUAAAUAUUUUCUCACUAUAUCUCAUUUCAAAUUCCUAACAUAACCUUUGUUAUUCAUUAACAUAUAUUUCAAUUAAUUACUUACUUUACCUCUUAUUCACUCAAUAGACCUCUCAUUCUUUGUUUUUUUAUUUUNNNNNNNNNNNNNNNNNNNNCUCUCUCUCUCUCUCUCUCUCUCUCUCUCUCUCUCUCUCUCUCUCUCUCUCUCUCUCUCUCUCUCUUCGAUCUAAAAAAUUUCUCUCUCCUCUCUGUCUCUCUGAUCUCAGCCCCGUAAUUGAUAUCCUCGACACCAACCGCGACGACAAGAUCAGCAAAAUUGAUUGCUUUGUUUUGUUCAGGGUGGUGGAUGUUGGAGUGUUGUUGUGGUUAAUGCUUAGAUUGUGGAAUUGAAUUAGAUUGGAUUGUUGUGGUUAAUGCUUAGACUAUGGAAUUGAAUUGCAAGAUUAAUGUUUUGAUUCCUGACAGUUUAUUAGGGUGGAUAACAAGUUUGCUAGGGUCAGUAAUAAUAUAUUAUUAGUCAAUAACAAGUUUACUGUAAUAUAUUAUUAGAAUGGAUAACAAGUUUAUUGAGGUCAGUAAUUUUUUAUUAAAGAUUAAUAAUUUAUGAUUGGAGGUCAAUAAUAUGUUUACUAAGGGUCAAUAAUUCCGAAACCCCUUUUCAAAAAAAAAAGGGUCAGUAAUUCCGACGACCGGUGACCGAGGUCCGGGGAACGGUGACCGAAGUCGAGGGUCCGGGCAAGUCUUUUCUAUAUUCCACUUUCUCUCUCAAUACAUGGUUAAGGGUUGAGGGUAAAAAGUUCUAAAAAAAAAGGUUUGAGGGCAAAAUAGUCUUAAAAAAAAUAUAAUUUUUAAGACUUUUAAUGAAGAUUUGUUCGUUUGAGCACGAGUACAAAAAAAGUUAUUAUUCAAAAAGUCUCUUGAAAAAGAUUUUCAUUGAAAUAGGUAAUAAAAUGUUGAAAUUAGUACUAAAUUGUCAUUUUUUUUGUUAUUGGGUCUAUGUACUAUAUAGUUUCAGGGGGAAAAUGCGAAUGGUAUCUCACAUUUCAUCUAUUAAUCACUUUCAUAUCCCAACUUUUCUAAAUAUCAUAAUGGUAUCUCAAAUUCCUACCUCUACCCAACAUAAAUACCUGAAACUUAUUUCCUCGUUAAGUUCACUAACGUCUGGUAAUCUUUAAGGGGUAUUAUGGUCCCUUUCUAUUUCAACACCCCCUCCCAUUCAACGCCAAAUCCCUUUCAAAAAUAAAAGAGUGGCGCCAAAUAUGAAGAAUAUAUAUAUAUAUACGGAAACGAUGUGGAGCGCACGUCCGCAGUGCGCACGAAGCUUCGUUUGCCACCCUCCGGCGCCAAUGUCGGUGCACCUCCACCCCAGCAGACUCCAGCAGCAUCCCCGAUCACUUUCCCUCCCCGGCGAUCCCCAGCGAGGCCGCCGAAUUCCCGUUUCCGGCAAGAUCAACUUUAUUUGAAGUUUUGGGUGAUCUCGCCUGAAAACUGGAAUUCGGCGGACUCGCCGGGGAGGGAAAGUGAUCGGGNNNNNNNNNNNNNNNNNNNNNNNNNNNNNNNNNNNNNNNNNNNNNNNNNNNNNNNNNNNNNNNNNNNNNNNNNNNNNNNNNNNNNNNNNNNNNNNNNNNNNNNNNNNNNNNNNNNNNNNNNNNNNNNNNNNNNNNNNNNNNNNNNNNNNNNNNNNNNNNNNNNNNNNNNNNNNNNNNNNNNNNNNNNNNNNNNNNNNNNNNNNNNNNNNNNNNNNNNNNNNNNNNNNNNNNNNNNNNNNNNNNNNNNNNNNNNNNNNNNNNNNNNNNNNNNNNNNNNNNNNNNNNNNNNNNNNNNNNNNNNNNNNNNNNNNNNNNNNNNNNNNNNNNNNNNNNNNNNNNNNNNNNNNNNNNNNNNNNNNNNNNNNNNNNNNNNNNNNNNNNNNNNNNNNNNNNNNNNNNNNNNNNNNNNNNNNNNNNNNNNNNNNNNNNNNNNNNNNNNNNNNNNNNNNNNNNNNNNNNNNNNNNNNNNNNNNNNNNNNNNNNNNNNNNNNNNNNNNNNNNNNNNNNNNNNNNNNNNNNNNNNNNNNNNNNNNNNNNNNNNNNNNNNNNNNNNNNNNNNNNNNNNNNNNNNNNNNNNNNNNNNNNNNNNNNNNNNNNNNNNNNNNNNNNNNNNNNNNNNNNNNNNNNNNNNNNNNNNNNNNNNNNNNNNNNNNNNNNNNNNNNNNNNNNNNNNNNNNNNNNNNNNNNNNNNNNNNACCACUUUCCCUCCCCGGCGAGUCCGCCGAAUUCUAGUUUUCCGGCCAAAUCACCCAAAACUUACAAACAAAGUCAAUCUGGCCGAAAAACUGAAAUUCGGCGGACUCGCUAGGGAUGGAAAGUGGUUGGGGAAGCUGCUGAAGUUCGCUGGGGUGGAGGCGCGCCCUCGCCGGUGCCGUACAGUUGCGUCAGGAGGGACGUCCGCACUUUAAGAGCCGUGCGGACGUCCACACCUGGUAAUCCUUGUAUAUAUAUAUAACUUUAGUACAUGAACAUUAAUAUGACGAAAUUUUUUUUUUUCAAAUUCUUCAAUUGUGACAACAUUUGAUACAUGAGCACUAGUAAUCAAAAUCUAUUGCACAAGCACAAAAACAUUACAUCUAAAGCCAUGUCUAGAUAGUACAUCCAAAAUCAUGACUAAAGGGACAUAAACAAAAGCCAGCAAAACGCAUAAUCAUGGAUGAAAAUUGAGUCAUGCGCUACAAAACAAUACAUAUCCUACAAACUGCAAUUAACUAAGGGGGUUUGAGGUGCAUUAUGAGGCAUGGGCUUUCUGAUAUGACUUUCUAUUUUCUUUGUUGGAAUUGUGGCAUAGAUGAGGUAUGUGGAGCUGUAGUACUCUUGGAUUGCUGUGUAGCCAUAUAAAACACUUGCUGCCCUUGGUCACUUUGAGAUUGAGCCCGCAUAGGUUUAGCAGCUGGGCAGGGUGGCACAAGGUGAGGCCGGGGAGGCAAGGGAGGCUGAGAUUGAGGUUGGGGCUGCACAUUCUCACUAGCUUGACGUUGUUCAUCCUACAAACUCAAAAUUGUAUACCAAUUAGGGGAGCAAAUGUCACAACACUUCCAGAAUGAAAUUUCACUUUCCAUAACAAUGCAUCUCAUUAGUAAACAUGCAUGUUUCUUUUUUAUGCAUGAUCUCUUGUUGUGUCCUUUUAUUCUGCAAUACCCACAUUUUAUUUGAGAGUAAUACACCUUAGGUAACUUGGUUGUUCCAGUAGGUGGAGGUACCUCAUCUUCAUCCAAAUAGAGAAAAUACAAUAAGAUACAUGUUAUUGCAUAAGUAAUUGAAGUGAACCUUAAAAUUUUAAGUUUCUCACCUUGCUCUUUGUUCCUAGCCAUUAUGGGGAGUUUCCCAAGUUGUCUCUUGUAAAGUGGGGGUGCUAUUGGUCUAUAUAUCUUCUCCCAUUCCUUCACUCCAGCAGUUGGAUGCAUAAUUGGCCCAUAUGCCUUCAUGUAUGUCUCCUUGCUAUAAUAUUCAUGUACAAAGUCAUCUGGAGACAUUCCUUUUGAGAAGAUACAUGCUGUAGCAUGACCACAUGGUAGCCCAGAUACAUUCCACCUAUUACAUGUGCAUGACUUGUUAUCUAACUGAACCACAUGUGCUGCAAUCACCCCAUUUUGACAUUGUGCCCCUCUUCUUUGAACCUCAUAUCUCCAAAGGCUUGAAGAUAUUGGUGUGUAAUCAGCUGCAAACUUGGCUGAUUUCUUCAACAACUUUUCAACUCUUGGCCCUACUUUACACUUCUAAUUAAGGUGAGAAUUUCUACGAUUUGCCAAUCUCACCAUAGUUGCUAUUCUGAUAUCUUCUAAGCACCCAAGUAUAGGCUUCUUCCUUGCUAGGAGUAUGCUUUUGUUGAAGCUCUCACUAUGAUUAUUGAGAAGAGAGUCACACUUGAACUUGUGAUCAAAAUGUGAUAAUGACCAGUGAAUUACAAGCCUGUCCAUGCACCACUUCCAUCCAUCAAGAGAGCUUGUCUUCAAAUCCUCCAUUGCAUCUCUAAAUGCAUUCAUAGUUGUGCUUCUUGCCACUGCCCACAAUUUUUCUUUAAGUUCCAACCCUACAAUCAAUUGAAACAUAACACAAUAAAGGUAAUUAUAACUUUGCACUUACACUAAAAAAAAAACCACAAAUGUUGGUAAUCGAUCAUAUAAUGAAAAAUAAAAAACAUGUGUGUCCAUCAGUCUUGAAGUUGUUGUGGAGGUGCCUCACACAAUGCCUAUGCGUAGCAUCCAGAAACAAUUCUUUGAUCGCCUGCUCCAAUCCCUUUUGUUUAUCACUCAUGAACGUAUAAUGUCCUAAGUGAUGGAUGUUAAGAUCAGCCUUCAAGAACUCUAAGAACCAUGUCCAACUCUCUCUGCUUUCAGAUUCCACAAUGGCCCAAGCUACUAGGUAAAUCCCAUUGUUACUGUCAAUACCAACAGCAGAGAGCAGCUGACCUUUGUGCACAGUCUUCAGAUGACAACCAUCUAAGCCAAUCAUCAUCUAAAUCACAUAAAUAGAUAUGAUACAAAACUACAACUUGUACAUAAUACACAUCUAUAUUGUAAAGGCUGGAGAACCUUUUUUCUAUAUAAGAAAGUCCCACUUUUAGUUAAUUAUGGAUUAGUUGUUGUCAUCUGUUGGAAGUUGUACAUAAAUAGUGAGCUAAACAUGUUGGGUUGUACUCUUGUAGUCGAUGUAUAUAUAUAUAUAUACCCUAUAUAUAUGUAUAUACCUAUAUAUAUAACUGCCCAAGCCUCCACAUUUAAGACUACAAACUCACAAAAUCAACCAAAACCCAUAAAUCUGAUGCAUUUAUCAUCUCACCCAUUUCAAUCCAUAACCUAAUUGCAGACAUAUAUAUAAACAAUUGCAGAUGGAGACAAAUUAACCCAAAAUUAAAUACCAAAACCCUAGAAAAAACCCAUAGAGAAGCUUAAACAAUGUACUCAUGUGCAGGAGACUACAAUCAGAAGAAAACACUUUUAGAAAUGGACCAUUUCAGUUGGUUUUACCUGCAUAAGUAGGUGCCUCCCCAUUGACACGAAAAUAUCUCCAAGUCAUCCUCAUGUAAUCAAACUUGGAUAUUCAUCAAUGAUUCGAGAUGCAAUCUUUUUUCAAAGACAACCAAUUUUUUGAAGGUGUUGUUUCAAUCAUCAGAAAUUGAUUCUCUGACUAAGUGAAACAAAGAGAGAGUAUAGAUGGUGAGAGACUUGAUGAUAUUUGGGGGCUGAAUAGAAAUUGAAUCUAAUGUGGGGGUAAAUGAAUAGGGUUAGAGAUAAAUGGGUAAAAAACGACACUGCCCUUCAGCAUUUGAAUCUCGUUAACGUCGUAACAGGGAAAUAAGUUUCAUAUACGAAAGUUGGGUAAGGGUAGGAAUUUGAGAUACCAUUCUGAUAUUUAGAAAAGUUGGGAUAUGAAAGUGACUAAUGAAUGAAAUGUGAGAUAUCACUCGCAUUUUUUUCCCAGGUAGGAUAAGAAACCAACAUUAAGUUUUGAUCAUGCAUGCUCAUGGCUGGGUUAGAAAACUUGCACACUUAAGUCAAACAAAAUGUGAGAUUUUUACUGUAAUACGUGAGUACUUUUAGUGCAAUUAGUAUUUGGAAAGCAUCAGUAAACUCUGAUAUCUGAAACUUAUUUACAUACUUAUGAAUUUAAUUAUUUGUAUUUUAUAAGUAUUUUCGACAAUAUCUUUUGUUCUGUUUUUUUCCUUAAGUUUCUUGAGGUCGGUUAGAUGCCUUUAUGAUAUUUUUUUUUUGACCUGUCCAAUUAUUGGAUUAAUACCUAUAGAAGAAUAUAAUGAAGUGUUGAUCAUUCUUUUUCAAUUAACUAGCUAUAUUUUUGAUUUUGAAUGCAAAACAUUGAUCAUAAUGCACAAAACUCCGUUGCUUUACACAAUUUGAGUACACUAUUACAUACAGAGAAAUAUAUGAUAGUGCACAAAAUUUAUACACAACAACACUUUUGCAGGUGAUGAGGUGAGCAAUCCUCAUGUACAACAUCAAAACAGAAGCAGAGAAGAGAUGAUGUCGUGUGCAUAUCUGCUCUAAGUGGCAAGGACAGAAUUGAAGGUACAUAUGAUUGAUUAUGAAUCAAUGCUUCAACUUUAUGAUUAGAAUGUGUUUUUUUAACAUGACUAAAUUUGAAUCUGAUUCUAAUUUGGUUAAUCUUAGAUGUGUAUAGGUUAUGAGGUUUAAUUUAGAUAGUAAUGUUGCCGCAAAAUGAAAAUGGACAAAUCUACAGAAAACAUUGCCAACAAUAUUGAUAUUAUGAUACUGCCACUAUUUAGGGGCCUCAACAAUUGUAACAUUUUGUAGUUUCCCUAUGCAUGGUUAAUCAAACAUGUCUAACUUCAACUACACUAUUUGAGGAUGCUUCAUCAUCAUGUGGUAUAUAUAAUUUGAACUUCAUUUUUGUGUAUCAUAUUGUGCUGAUGACAUCUUCUUAGGCGUUUCAAAAAAGAAGUUUUAUAAUAUGGAGAAGAAGCUUCUAACCUAAAAGGGAGGACAUCAGUUGAUAGAAGAAAAUUCAAAAUUGCCUCAGGUGGACAUCAGUUGAUAGAAGAAAAUUCAAUUCAGAACUGCAUUUUAACUUUGUUAAAUCAACAAUUUGGUAUAAUGACAACUGUAAAGUUGAAUGAACUUGGGUUCUGUUUGUGUUAGCCUUUUGUUGCUUAUGUAGCAGUUUUCUUUCUAUAGUAAAAUUAUUCUGAAGAUGAUCACCUGAAUAUAUGAAUGACUUUGUAAUUUACUUGAAAGUUCACUUACAUGAGAUUUUAUUGAAGAAAUGGCAAUUUUAUUUAAGAUCACGUUAGCAAUGUGUUUAUUUUUAUUUUUUUAAACAAAACCAAUUUACACAACCAUGAAACCCACAGCAAAGCGAGGGCUCAGUAGCUAGUACUGUAUAUAUAAGGAGGGACCUGUAGAUCACUGAACUACAGUCUUACAAGUUCGUGAGAUUUUCUGUUCUAUAUAUGUGCCAGUGAAAAUGCUAUAUAAAUGACCUUAUAUAAAUGAGCCUUGCAAUUUCUAACAUUAGAGAAGCCUAGCGGAUAGCUCAUCUUUCCGUUUACCCCCUUUCAUAAGAAGUAUCAAGAUUUAUCAACAGAAAAUGAUAUAAAGCUGGGAAUAGAAACAGCAAAGCAAAAGCCAAUUAGACCUGUCAAAGAAAAUAGAAACUACAGAAAAGAAAGCUAGGAAUACGAAUCCAUAGAAGAAACAGAUACAGAUUAAUCGUGAGAAAGAAGAAGAAGCUAGGUGGAUACCUGACUAAGAAAGAAAGGGGAAAAAAAAAAAAAAGAGAAGCUAACUAAAGACAAGCAUGCAGUUGGGUCUUGAACUGGUCAAAAAAAUAAUAAAGACCAGAGUUCUUAAGCUCAAAGAUUGUAGAUAAAAAGCGAAAGGAACAGCACAUAUGUGGUAAAAUACUUGAUUAUUCUGGAUUCUGAUCUUUAAUUUCCUUUUGUUUCUUCUAUUUUUUCUUUUUCGGCAAUGCCUAUCGACCUUUAAUUUCUUGGUCUGUUGUAUUGUGUUUGCUACUAUACUUGCUUAUUUAGAUUCCGGCCUCCAUACCUUAGCUCUAACAAGUAGUAAGUCCAGACUCCAUAACCAGAGUUCUAUAUUUCAGUUGCCGCUUAGAUCGACUAUUUAAACAUUUCGGAAAAUUCGAUCCCUGAACUAAUUAAAACUAAUCAAGGUACGUAUGCAUGCUUGUCACAAAUUACUCUUAUCUUCUUAGUUUUGGAAUUUUUUUGUUUUAACUAAAAUAUUUUCAUUGUUGAACACGUAGAUUCCUGAAAAUAAUGUAGCUUAAUUAUUAAUUUCCAAGUCAUGCAGCCUGAUUAUGGAAUGUAUGUACCUUAAACAUUUAAACUUGUUCAAAUUAAGUUUAAUUACCCUUAAUGAACUAGCUAGCCUAGUAUAGUAUUAACAGUGGGAUGCAUGAACAGUACCUAGGCUUACCAAGUAAGCCAAGAAGAGCACAGUCGGUGACAAAACAGAAGGUAUAUAUACUGCAUCUCUCACUUACCCUUUAGCUUAGCUUUGUUUGAGAGAGAGAGAUGGGGGUUCCAUCGUUUUUUCGUUGGUUGGUAAACAAGUACCCUAAAGUGGUCGUAAAAGCCAUUGAAGAGAUAGAUGAGUUUGUAGAUCCAACCUCACCGAACCCUAACGGCAUAGAGUUCGAUAACCUGUAUCUUGACAUGAAUGGAAUUAUCCAUCCCUGCUUUCACCCGGAAGAAGAAGAUGAUGAUGGUCAUGGUCAUGGAGUAAGAUCACAGUUCUAUUUCAUUUGCUUUUGAUCUAUGAGUUGCUUUAUAUAUGAAGUUUCUUUCCUUUGCAUGUUUAAGAUCGAGUUUAUUUUAUAAGCUGUAUAUAUAUAUAUGCAUGUUCAGCUUCCACUACCAAGAACUUAUGAAGAUGUCUUCAACAAUAUCUUCGAAUAUAUUGAUCGGCUUUUUAGAAUUGUCAGACCAAGGAAGCUCCUCUACAUGGCUAUUGGUGAGAAAAUUGAAAUAAUUUAUUUGUUUUUAACGUUGAUUUUUAGAGUUCUGAGGUGUUUUUGCUUUCAAUUAAUAUGUAUCUGAUGAUGUAAUUAAGUUAGUAUUUUGCCUUUUAGAUGGAGUUGCACCGAGAGCCAAAAUGAAUCAACAACGCUCCAGGCGUUUUAAGUCGGCAAUGGACAAGAAUCUUGCUGUGGGUGCAUCUGAAAUUCACAUGAGUUUUCCAUGUGUUGUAUUUCGAAUCAGUUUUAUGAAUACUAAAUGAUGUUCCCAUAUGUUGUUUAAAUUUUAAACGUGUAGGAGGCUGAAGAGGAGAAACUGAGACUGCAUUUUGAAAAGGAAGGGAAAAAAAUUCUACUGGAACAGGAAUCAGAAAUCUCAGAUUCUAAUAUAAUCACCCCUGGAACGGAUUUCAUGUACAAGUUAUCCAAGGCUCUCCAAAGCUACACCAAUCUUCGUUUAAGCCAAGAUCCAGGCUGGAAGGACAUUAAGGUCUGGUCGUAUGACUUAUAUUUUCAAACUUAUGUAUAUAUGGAACUGAUCAAAUUAUGCAGAUUGAUUUCUUCCUAUUUUUUAAUCAAUGGUGAAUAAAAUUAUAAAUUAUGUAUAUGCACCAAUUAAUAUAUAUUGGUAUUCACUGGUACUCAAAUUUAUGUCUCAGUCAAAUUUGUUUCCUAUAUUUUUUUAUUUUUCUCAAGUUCCAUGCUUAUUCAUUUAGGUAAUACUUUCUGAUGCCAAUGUUCCUGGAGAAGGAGAACACAAAGUGAUGUCAUUCAUACGCCACCAGCGAACUGUUCCUUCUUAUGAUCCAAACACCCGCCAUUGCUUGUAUGGUCUGGUAUGGAAACAUGACUAUAUGGAACACAAAUAUCAAGAAUUUAUGUCCUAUCCUUUUGCCUGUCAAUUUUUCUCUUUAUUUUGAUUCUUGAUUUUACAUUCUCAUAUACAUUGUCAUUGGCAUUAUGACAGGAUGCGGAUCUAAUAAUGUUGUCUUUGGCAACACAUGAAGUUCACUUUUCCAUACUGAGAGAGGUGGAAUUUACAAACCCUUCAGCUUCUUUUUAAUAUAUAUACUUCAUCCUUUUUUUUUCUUGGUUUAAUCUUUUACCAUGUCACAACUUGGAAUUUGGUCUUUAUGAAUAUCUGCGGGUCUUCUAGUUUUCAAUGGUUUUGAUGAUUACUUCUGCCCAUGUUACAAAUUACAAAGUUCAGUUUCUGUUAAGCAUCAAAUAUUAGUUCAAGUUAGAGGUUUUGAACUCUACUCGAGAGGACUCACAUUACUAUAUAUGCAAACUGACACAAUAUAUUCAACCUUGAUACGCUUCAUUUUUCGGAAAUAGGAUUUACUUUUACAAAACCAGCAGCCAUAUGCAAACGGUCAAUUGACAGCAUCAUCAGACAAAAGAAAAGCAUACAUGAUGAAAAAGCCCUAUCAGGUAUCUUAAUUUUAUUAACCUCCAUUUCGGUAGGAUAGCUAGCUGUUUUGUCUUUGUCUGAACUUUUCCUUUAUCCAAUUUUCAGUUUCUGCAUAUAUGGAUCUUGAGAGAAUAUUUGGAGCUGGACAUGCAAAUCAAUGAUCCUCCUGAAAACUUCAAGUUUGAUCUUGAGCGUAUCAUCGAUGACUUCAUAUUCAUAUGUUUCUUCGCGGGAAAUGAUUUUCUACCUCACAUGCCAACAUUGGAAAUUCAUGAGGUUCGAUACUAAUUUCAUUAUCCAAUAGUUUAUUUAAUUUAAAUCUAAGGCGUACUCAUAUCAAAACUAACUUUUGUGAAAUACUUGUUCUCAGGGUGCAAUUGAUUUGCUGAUGCAAGUCUACAAGAAAGAGUUCAAGAAGAUUGGUGGUUAUUUGGUUGAUAUGAUUCGGGUAUAUUAAUAUAACUUAACAAUAUAUUGUUAUUUUCUUCACACAAAAAAAUUCAAUAUAGCUGGACAGGUUCAUGAUCAUUUGCAUAAAGCAGGUUCAUGACAAGAAGUUGGGGUACAUCAAACUAUCAAGAGUGGAGAAAUUUAUUCUCCUUAUUGGAGCAUAUGAAGAGAAAAUAUUUAAGAAAAGAUCAGAUAUACGAGACCGUAAACUCAGAGGUUUUUGCAAUAAUGAUGAUACAGUAAGUGCCUUGUUUCAAAAUUUUAUGUUCUUAUACUGUAUCACUGUUGACAGAUUUGUGUUUGUCUAAAAUCGAUAUGCUGAAAUAUAGACUGAGUUAAUUGCAUGCUUCUCUAGAUAGAGGAAGAGAUUGAUGCUGGAAGUUCAACUUCUAAUGUGAAAGCAAUUGAAGGAUCUGCAGUUGUUUCAGCGGAUAAUCUUUCAUCUUCUGAAGUAUGUUUUGCUCUGUUCUGUAUUGAAUGAUGAUCUUUUGGCUAUCUUUGACACAAACAUACGCGUGCGCACAGUUCUCACAGUCUCCCAUUUAUCCUCAUUAAUAUGCAUAGAAGGAUAUAUUAUCUUAAAUCUUUUGUUACUAUUUUGCUCAUUUUCAUCUACUGCAUUUUUUGUGUUCACAUUUACUUUUGAUGCUUCUGCUUUAUUAUACUAUAGUGGGAUGAUGUGGGGGGUUCUUUAUUUUUGGACGUACCGAAAUAUUUUGGCCUCCUUGUUAUGUAUAUCAUUAUGUUGCAGAUAGCGGAAAACACAAAGGAAUAUAAGCAAAAAUUGAAGGCGAGCAUUAGAAGAAAAUCUGAUCUUUUUAGGAAUGGUGAUCAUUUUGGGACUGACAAAGUAUGGAACACUCCUUUCUGAAAAUUGCAUUACCUCUAUAUCAUACAUCCUUCUGAUAUUUCCUUUUGACUUGUAUAUGUUUCAUCAUUCAUCCACACAGGUACGGUUGGGUGCUACCGGUUUCAAGGAAAGAUAUUACAAGUACAAAUUUUCUGCUGAAACCCCGGGGGAGAUUGAAUGCAAAAGGAAGGAAGUAGUACGUCUGGUUAUAUGCUAUAGCUUUAUUUUGCAUUUACUGUGUUUUCAAAUUUUUACAUAUUUUCUCAGUCAUCCACUUCUAUUUUAUUUUCCUUCAAACAAUUAAGCUGCACCUGUAAUUGUAUUAGCCGCUGAUUUUGUUGGUUGUGUAUAAGUUCUGUACAAAAUUGAGAUUUGAGUUUACCUGUGUUUCAAGAGUAACUUAAUUAGAAUUUUGAAAACUAACCAACUUUUGGUCAUCAAGAUGGUUUUUAACCUUCUUUUUUAUUUUAGUUGAAAACUAAAUGACUAUUAUGUCAUCUUAUUUAGUUGCAAGGGAAAAUUUCAUAUUCCAUGAACAGAUUUAAUAUAUUCCAUAUGCAAAAUAGUUUAGGUUUUUUUUUCCAAUCCAUGGGCAUAUUCGUUUAAUCCAUGUACAAAAGCUCUGGAUUUUUUCAUUUUUUUUGUUUCGUCGUCUAUCUCAUCCCAAGGAUUCACUGAUGGAAUUGAGUUUUCUACAAGUCUGAACUUUUUUGUCUCCAAUUAAUUAUGGCAAUGAUCAUAAUCAAGGUAUAUAUAUAAAGCAUCUUGGUCUCUUCUAUUCCUCUCUUCUGUAUUUUUCCGAAUUGGGUUGCUGGAGUUCUUGCACAUGUAAGUCCCUGAAAACCCCAAACUUCAAAUCCCUAAAUCCACAAAACUUUUAUUGAAAUUGAAACAUUGUAAAUCUAUGUCAUUCACGAAAUUUGAACAAUAUGAAUAUGAUACCUAGCUAGAUGCUCCUCAAUUGGAUGUAGAAAAAACAAAUCCCAUCAAUUAAAUACUCAAGAAGUUCAGUUGUUGUGGUAGCUAGACGAACGAUUGAACAAGAAUUUCAUAUUUUUUCCUCUCCUUUUUUCUUGAGAAAAAAUAUAAAAAGGUAUUCAAAAUGGUUAUUUGAUUUAAAAGGGUAUUAAAGACUUUUAAUACUAUCAUAUGGUUAUUUUUCAACUAAAUGAAAAAAGAAGGUUAAAAACCAUCUUGAUGACCAAAAUUUGGUUAGUUUUCAAAAUUUCUCUUAGUUUCCUGUAUUUUUCACUAACCAAAAUAUAGGUUCCUUUUGAAUUUCCGUUUCUUUAUAACUCCAUUUGUUGUUUGCUUUUAGGUUAAAUGCUACACAGAAGGACUGCUGUGGGUUCUUUUAUACUACUUUUCUGGUCCCCCAUCAUGGAAAUGGUAAGACUUAUCCGUGAUGCUAUCUACUCAGUGUUGUGAGUAUAAUCAACUAAACAUGAAGUAAAUUAUCAUUUGAACAUUCCUAUCAGGUUUUAUCCUUUUCAUUAUGGACCAUUUGCCUCUGAUAUGAAGGGCCUAGCUCAGGUCAAACCACAAUUUGAGAAGGGUUCCCCAUUUAAACCUAUAGAUACACUCAUGGCUGUCCUGCCACCAAGGAGGUAGCAUUAGCUAAAUUUUCAUGUUAUCGUAAUUAUUUCUUUCAAAUUUAGCCGUUUUCCUAGAAGAUGAAACACAUGUUCAUCCUUGUAGUGCUCAUGCACUUCCUGAGGACUAUCGCGCACUUAUGAUGGAAGACUGUUCAAGCAUCAUAGAAUUUUAUCCUUCUGGUAAUGCCACUAUGACCGUAACAUAUUAUGUACUGGAUUAAUUCACUUUAAAAGUUUAACUCUUUAAGCAUUGCUUCAUGUUUAGAUUUCGAAGUGGACAUGGAUGGGAAAAGAUUUACAUGGCAGGUUUGGUGGUUUUUUUCUUCACAUGUACCAAUUUUCUAAUGUUCUGUUUAAGAUCAUUUUGCAUUGCUUUCCAUCAACUCUACUAUCUUCUAAUUUUCUUUGAAUUGGUUGUAACGUUGUCUGCUAAAGGGUAUCAGCAAACUUCCCUUUAUAGACGAAUCCCGUCUUCUACACGAGACAAGGAAGUUGGAGAAGGAACUCAAGGUAUCAUACUCCAUUUCCUGUUUUUUAAAUAUAGAAUCAAUAGAAGGCAUUUUAUCAUGAGAAACUAUCUAGAACCGACUCCAAGUUAAUGUUACUUUUAUAGGGGGAAGAAAUUGAGAGGAAUGCUGAAAAACUUGAUCGGUUAUUCAUCCGAAGCUCCCACAUUAUGGCAUCACAAAUUGUCUCGCUGACUAAUGGUGGCAAUCAGUCUAUCAAAAUUGACCCCAAUUUGAGGUAGGUCAUUUGCUAUCUGCCUUUCUGUGCUAUUCUUAGUCCUAAUUUUCAGUAAUCUUCUUACUAUUGAUUUUUGUUAUAACCGAGUGUUCUCUUCACUUACCAGCUUUGGAAUCAGUGACUUUAUCCGUCAGCUUGAUGAUAAUGAUGCCAAGGUGAAAGGAGAUGAUAGCUCUGAAGAAGACCCUGUCUUGUAUGUCAAAAACAUUGUUAAUAGCUUAUUCUAUUUUGAUUCUCUUUUUCCUUGGAUUUUUGGGAUUAUUAUUAGUUUCAUUGUACAUGUUUUCAGAUGUGCCCUAUAUGAGCUUCCUAACACAAGUCUGCAUAUGCCUCGUUUACUUGACGGUUUACAACUUCCCCCCAAGGUAUAUAUAGGUCAUUACGUCUUAAUUUGGGUUUAUUAUUUGUAGUUUGCAUGUAGUUUUCUUUUUGUUUGCUUAAUAUGAAUAUGUUCGUUUCCAUUGCUGUUGUAAAUAUAUUUUUUUAUUUUUAUACAUAGUUAUUCAUUGGCAACUGAAAUCACUCUCAAAUGCAUGCUUGAAAAUUAUUUGAUUAUUGACUUCAAUUGUAUCAGGAGAGAGUUUUUGCAGCAAGUUAUAUUCAACAAUUUUCGUCAAUACAUUUUGAAGCUCUUCUGCUUGGCUAAAUGAAAUCAAUUUUUUGUUUGCAGACAAUCAAUGAAUGUGAGCUUCUGGAAACAGUUCUAUGGCAUGAAUGUCAGGGAAAUGCGACCACUCACAGGUGUGCGGUGUGCCUCUAGUGCUUUCACUAUCUUUCCUCUCAUUUAUGUCUUAUACUUGCUCUAUCUGUACUCAUUUGGUAAAAGCAAAAUGCAGCUUGCAGCAAGGUCAAGCAAGGUUCAAAAAACCAAAUGAUUUCGGAAAUAUAAGUUUUCAAAACAAUACUAGACUCACUUCAGGAUCUCCCGCCAAUUCAAUUCACAAGUUUGCUGGUUCUGGAUGGGGUUGUGGUAGAGGAAGAGCAAAUGGCAGUACUUCUGGGGACCAAAACUAUGCUCCAAAGACAACAUCCAGUGAUCAAAGGGAGGUAUCAUCUUCUAGCUCCUACUAUGCCAAGGGUACAACCUCGGAUCACAAAAAUGAAGGCACAUUACAACAUGGCUUUCGGAAUCUAAAAAUAUCAGACUCAGGCCAAGGCUGGAGGCCUACUGGAAGGGGAUUUCAGCCGUUAAAUAAUGUUUUCUGGCCAUCAAGAAGUAGUGCCUCUCAAGACAGAAACUUUGCUAGUUAUGGUUCACAGUCUUAUCAUGCUCGGGGCCGUGGCAGAGACCAACACAAUUCAUGGCAACAAACUUAUCCAAUUGUUGGUACAGGUAGAGGCCAGCAAGACCCUUGGACACACACCCAGCCUCCUUUUUCUGCUAGCCGCUCGUCAUCACAUGCCGGUGGAAGAGGGAACUUUCAGCGUAGUGACUUCAGUGGAAGUGGCAGUGGUAGGUAGCUAGAGCCCUGAAUGUAAAUGGAAGUGUUGUAGUGUUUUGUACAAGUUUUAGUCUACCAUGAGAUCAAGAAGAUUAGUAGGGUAGUUUAUUUUGCUGCUAGUACUUUUGCUGUAGUGGGAACGGGAAUUCUCUUAGAACUUGCAUGAACUUGCAUUGAACUACUCACUUGGUUUCUGAUGUAGUCUAGACGUCUAGUCUCUUCUCCCCCAUGAGGGCUUUGUUCAUAGCUCCUUUUAUGUUCCUUUGGUUUGUUAUUGCGGUGGUUCUAAAAGAAAGGUUAAAUUAUUGCUGAAAUAGAAAUUAACUUGAAGCUAGUAGAAACGAUGUGGUACAAACCCUAUGAAUGGUAGCAGAAUAGCCAAAUUUAUGCAAGUCACAUUUAUGCAGAAAAACCACACCCUAUGAGAGUCUGACUCGUUAAUUGAGUAGCCUGAGAAGUCGUCCAUUAUUUUGAUCAUUCUAGCACUCUAUCAAGAAUGCACCACCAAAUAACCUCUUAGCUGAACAAAAUCAAACCAUGCAAGCUAAAUACCCCAAACUUUCAAACUUAGAAGUGCUGUAACAAUAAUAGCCUUCAAAACAACUGGAUGACUAGAACAAUACGACAACCAAGCUUUGACUAUUGACAAUGGAAGCCUCACAGGUGACACAAUCAAUCUUUGACUCAACAAAUUAGCUUUUAAUCCAGAAAUUAAAAUUGAGAGAAGAGGUUACCAUCAACCAAUACCAUAUUUGUCAAUUUUUCUUUGAUAUGUAGGUUCAGCAGAAGCAUGACAUCCAUUCACAAACAUGUUCAACAAGGUCUGAAUAGACAGCAUGUAACUCAAUUUUCUACUGAAGUUUGCGAUCAAAUCCUUAGUUGUUGUUGUACAAUAAAGCUACCAUUGCAGUAUUUCUGUGGAGCCAUAAUGACAGAACCCAUCCGACGUCGUUAGCCUAUCAUCACAUUUGAAAGCAGUAGCCUACCCACAAAAAGGCCUCCAUAACCAUAAUAGCCUGAAACAUAAGAAUUCUCACUUCUAUGGAAGUUAUAUUCACCAAUGUUACUGCUAGCAUACAUUUGGCUCUAGUCUCCACAUAAGACAAUGAUUGUAUGGCAUAAUCAUUAAGCCAAUUAUGAAUCUCUUUCUUAAAGUCCUUCAGUAACCCACUAACUCUAAUACCAUACCUUAUAUCUUUUGAACAUAAUCAUCUAUGCUUUAUGAAAAGUCGUAAUUGGUGACAAGAGCAACGUGAAAGAUAACUAACUCUAGUGAAGCAACAUCUCUUGCUAUCAGUAUCGAUGUAACAUGAAUCUUGUCAAUGUCUUUCAGAAAAAGAAAACCACUGAAUUAGGGACCAAUUCAGGGGAAACAAUGUUUAUAAGAUAAACCGACAAUGCUUUAAUCUCAGAGACAACAAUUAAGGACCAAUUCCGAGGCAACAAUGCUCAUAAGAAAAACCGACAAUGUUUUAAUCGCAGAGACAACAAUUAGGGACCAAUUCAUGGAUUUAGUAAUCUCCCAAAAAAAUGCUUUAAUCUUAGAGGCAACAAUUAGGGACCAAUUCUAACUAGCCUUUCGAAACAUUCAUAUACCCUUAUUUAUCCCCCAAUAGAGAUGGGAUACCAAUAUUUAUGUUAAUGUAUUCCCAUAGAUUUAUUAUAUCAUGUAAAUGUAAUCUCUAUAUAGCAAACACAAAGUAGAGACACCUCUGAUUCAUCAUAUCAUGUAAAUGUGUUCUCUAUUAAGCAUAUUAUAUCCUAUAUUGAUAAUCAAAUAUCAAAAUCAUAUCACGUAAAUGUGUUCUUUAUUAAGCAAACCAAGGUUUGAAACCAGAUUAUAUCACAUAUUGAUAAUCAAGUAGCAAAACCAUGGAAUAUCUGAAACCCACAAUCUAAAACCCAGAGGCAACAAUUAGGUAACAAUUCAGAGGCAACAAUGCAUAUAAGAUAAACCGACAAUUCUUUAAUCUUGAAGGCAACAAUUAGAGAUCAAUUCUGAAUAGUCUUUACGAAACAUUCAUAUAUGGCGACCUCGAUGUUACUUUGUAACAAUAAUUAAGGGACUGAUGAAAGAGCAUGAAACCCAGUCAAACAUGGUUCCUCGACCUCAAGAAAUUGAAUUGAGAUUUCACGCAUACCUUGUAGAUUUACCAAGAAAAAUCGAGAUCAUAUCACUGAUUCAUGAUCAAAUGACAAAACCCAGCGGAAACCCCCACCAUCUAAAAUUCACCGUCGUGAAUACAUACGAAAUUGAUCAAAGGGUAAACCCGUCUGAAACCCACGACCUCCGAAACCCACGCCGCGAACAUAUCUGAAAUUCAAUCACCGAAUACCACAAUCAAAACCAAAUAUACGAAAUUGAAGAGAAUUGUUUCAAUUGAAAUUUACAAAGAUGAUUAGCAAAAGCGAGAAGAACAAAACGAAAGAGAGCCUCGAGGGUUUUACCUCGUGGUGGUGAAGCCGAGGAACAGUGAACCACGGCGGUCGUUGGCCAAACAAUUCCAUUUUGAAUUUUGAAAAUCUCAAAGAGCUAGAGAGACGUUACUGGAAUUUCAAAAAUGGAAUGAGAGGUAAGGAAAGGUUACUGGAGCUCCAUAUAUAUGAAACGUGAAAGAAACGGCUUAAAGUAGGUUUCUUUGGUUUGAAUACUCUUUCUGCCCUCAACUGGUAUUAAAUCAAGCUCUUCGACCUCGAAAAUGUGAAGUUGGAUACAAUGGGGAUCAAACAUAUCAAGAUACAUUCUGGUUUAAACCAAAUGUACAUUUCUUUUCUCAACAUCAUCAAACUCAUCAUAACUUCAUCACCAACAUCAUAAUUCUCAAAAUCUAAACUAAACCAAACACUAAAACAGUAGAAAAAAAAAGAUCCAUACCUUAAUUAACCCACUUGAAAUUACCCUAAUCCUCAUCAUCAUGAUCACUCUCAUCACUAAAGUAGCCUCCUUUCUUAACCUUCUUCUUCCUCUUCUUCUCCUCCUCCAUCUCCUCACUCAACAACCUCUCCCCGGCCCCACCAUCCACCACAGAAGCCCAAUUAUCCUCCUCAAACCUCUCUCCCCCACUCUCCCACUCCACCUCGUCCUCCCCACGCGCCUCCCCACCACCUCUACCACCUCCGCCGCGCCUCGGUUUCUUCUGCGGCGGCCGCUCCCUCGGCCCGAGCUGGUUCUUGGGGCACUCAUAACUCAAAUGCCCCUCGUCGCCGCACUCGUAGCAGCGGCUCUUGUCCUUGUACUCCCGCUUCUUUAUGAACUCGGCGGCGCGUCCGUUGUCCGCGGCGAUCGACGCCGAGAGCUUCCGGCCGUUGAGGAUCUUGCCGUGCAUCUCACGCGCGGAGGCGACGGCGUCGUCGCGCGUGACGAACUGGACGAAGGCGACGCCUUUGCUGCGGCGCGUGUCGCGGUCCUUGAGGACGGUGACGCGGGCGAUCUUGCCGAAGCGGGAGAAGAGGCUGUGGAGGUCGGAGUUGGUUAGGGAGUAGUCCAGGUUGGCCACGUAGAGGGUCGAUUUCGACGGCGCUAGGGUGGAUCCGGGACCCGAACCCGAACCCGACCCGGUGGAUUUUGUGGGCUUUUGGGCCUGCGGGGCGGAGGGGUAGCGGUUGCAGAGGGAGUCCAAUUCAUCGUCGUCGUCGCUGUUGGUGGCGCUCCUCUUCUUCUUUGGCGCCAUUUUCCCCCAAUUUUUGCAGAGGCUUUUGGUUCUGGGUUCCUCUGUGUGUGUGUAUAUAUAUAGUUACUGAUAGCACGUGAAAGUCACGUGAGAUGCUCUAGAAGUAAAAGAGUGAAAGUGAAUAUUUGCCUUCUUACCUAUUUGCCUAAAAACACUAUAUUCUUGUUUAUUUAGAAUUUAUACCUAUUGGUUUUCAAUUUUUAUGAACUUUACACGAGCGUUUUUAAAUUUUGCUGAUUUUACUACUUCCUCAUUCAAAAUUACUCUCACACUUUGCAGUCUCUUUAUUUUGAUAUCUCUGAUGCAAGUUUGAUGUUCACCUCGUGUGCCUAGAUUGUGAGAGUAUUUUCGUUAUAUUCAUACUGAUGAAAUACUGUUGAUUUAUUUUACAUUAAGUAAAAUUAAAAGGCAUAUUGUCAACUAAUUUUUAGUAAGGAACAAAAAAAAGUAGACUAUACUUGUUGUGUUAAUUGAUGAAUAAUAAUGUGUUCAACAGCUCGACAAUCCGAUUAUGAAAAAGCUUAAUUUUAGUUUGUUUUACUUCACCAGCUUGAACUCAAACGUUUAAGUCGUUACAGUCCUUAUUUACUAUAAUUGAUAAUCUAGAAAAUGUAGGAGUACAAUUGAUAAUCUAAAAAAUGUAGGAGUAAACAGGUAAACAUUAUAAAAUGUAGGGAUGAUUCAGCAAUUUAAAUUAAUUUGUUUUUGUCUCCUAGUUAAAUCACACCUGCCGUUGGUCGAGCUUGAGAAAGAUUAAGCUCGUUACGCAGAGACGAAGGAAGCUUCUCCAGAUUGAAAGCUGCCGGGAACAACUUUCUGAUUCUCCUUGAAUAGAUUGCUAGCUGGGAAGGAAGGGACAAAAUUUCUAGGGUUCGUGUAAGCUAAUUGAUAAAGGUGCCAGCUUUCUUACCAUAUUUCUCUGUUAUUCGAUUGUUUAUGUGCUUGAUUGCUUGAAUGAAUCAACGAAAGAACGUAUUUUGAGAAUUGGGUAUUGGAUGUUUUGCUGUUUGCUUAGAUGGGUAUUGAUUGGAAUUGCAUAGUUUUGGAUUUGGGUGGAGGAUUUGGAUUCUGGAAGUGGAAUUUAUUGACGUGUUUAUGUUUUCAGGAAUUUCAGGAAUGUAGUGUUUGAUUAGAGGUUUAAGAAAUAUAGUCAAUUUUAUCUUUUAACAUAGAUGUGUUGAAUUCAAAAGGUUAUAAACUUGGUUCUGUAAAUGGUUUGGAAACUGGAAGGGGUGAGCAAGUAAGCGGAUAGGUGUUAAGUCAAAAUAUUAGUUAGAUUGCGAGAAUCCGGGUAGAGCUAUAAGGAUAUCUGAAGUGGGGUUGUGUUUUUGUAAUUGCAAGAUGAAGAAGAUCAUCUAUAUGACUUUGUUUCUUAUAGCUUUGAGCUGAGUCAACAGCUGAUAACCCGGUUAUUUGAAUCAGAAAGUAUAGGUUUUGCUUGUUCUGUUUCAGUUGGUAAUCUACAAAGAUCUGUUUCUCUAAUAAAUUCUAUCACUUUUUGCUUAUUUCCCCAUCUUUGAUUUUUGGCAAACCAGUGAUGAACUGCCUUAUGCUUUGAAAAGAUGCAUGGAUUCUCCACCGUUGACGGCUUUGUGGAGAUAACUGAAUGCUUAGGAGAGAUGAUUAAAUAUGUGGCAAACGAACCCUCAGUAGGGCUUUAUUAUGUCCAGCAGCACACUCAAAAUGCAGUGCCCAAUCUCGUUGGUCUGAGAAAUGGUGUAGUGAACAAGUCGCGUGAAACAACUUUGCACACUGAAGAUUCAGAGGAUUCCAUAACCAUGGUGAGAUCGAUGAAAGAAUGUGGAUUCCCUGUUGCUGAUGAGAUGAUUAGGGACAUAAAGAAAUCUCUUGCGCUUAUGUCUACAAAACAACCAAAAAGAGGGCUAAUAGACAACCAGGGAUCAGCUUUUCAGCUAGGAAGAGCAAGUUCUUGGAAACCAGCCAGUUGGGGUCGUUCUCCAAGUCAUGAUUGGCAGGAUAGUGAAGGCAGCUAUUUUUCUACUGUAUUAAAAUCUGCAAAACAAAAGGCCAGCAAUUUGAAGUGGCCGCAAAUUGAUCCUAAAGAACUAACAGAGGUCUCCUCCUACUCUAACCCACCAGUAUCAGUUGCUACUGCAAGCACGAGUUCAUCUCUGCCAGAUACAGAAGCUGAUGAGCUGCCCAUAUCGAGCCAUAUUACAGAUGAACCACAAGAAGAACAAGUCGACGAUAGCUUGUCGUCGCAUAAUUUGUCUUCAUUGUCAGAAAACUUUGAUGAGUUCAAGGCUGAUAGAGAAGUUAAACUACGUGAGUGGUUGGAAGGGACUGAUAGUCCAGAUAAUCCCAUAGGAGCAAGUCAUGCAGAAAGAUCUUAGCCUGUAUAUACUGAUGUAUCUUGUGUUAUUAUCUAUUGUGAGUGAUAAUUGAUAUCACGAUUGUUUGUUAAUAAAAGAAAUUCUUCUCAAAUUCUUUUCCGUUCAAGGAACUAAUAACCAAAUUCUGAAUUAAAAUGUUCAGUAGAAAGCACUCUGAUUAUGUAAAGCAUAAAAGGAAUAGCCCAUUUCAUAGCUUGGUCUCGGCUCAUAUAUGAACUCUCUUGAUGUGACUAUGUCUAGAACCACUUCCGAUGACUAAAAUAUCAAAAUUAUUGAAACAUCGACGGAAAAUUUAAGAAAAUUUCGAGAUCGAUAAAAUUUCAACGAAAACUAGAAACUGAAGCCUAUAGAGACUUGUAGAAUAACUUUAAGUCUUUAUAUCUUUAAAAAUGUCCAUUAGACCAACUAUGUAAUGUAUUUCAAAUGAAAAUAUGAAAAAAAAAUAUUGUUAGAUGAUAGGUUAGUAUAGUGUAAGGUGAAUUAGUAUAGAUUAGAUACUUCUUCAAAUUUAACUCAAAGAAUAUUUAUUUCCUUUUUCUUGAACAAGAUGAAUCUUAAUGUUAAUGUUUUACUAAUUCUAUUGAGAGAUCCCUACUUUUGACCACUUUUAGGGAUAUGUCAACACCAUUGGAUCUGUCAUUUAAUGAGCUUGGAUGACUGAGAUUAAAACAAAAAGUUUAACACUUUAUAUCAAACCUAGACCGUUCAAGAUCAUUAAAAAUAAAUCGAAGUUUUGAAUAACUUAACGAUCACCAAAUUAUAUGAAAAUUUGUAGAAGUGAUCUACUCAUAUAGCCCAAUGAAUUGAACGGUGUAGGUGCACAAAUUUGACCGGGAAGUUGGUGUAAUGCCCUAUCCUUAGAAAUAGUCAAAAUAAGGAUCCCUCAAUAGAAGGGCCUUGUAUAUAUAUAUACAUAGGGCCGUUCGAGAGCGGACGUCCGCAACUAUGUUAAAGUGCGGACGCCAACUCAAAUCAACUUCGGCGACACCGAUUAGCAGCUCUUCUUCCAUCCUCAGACGCCAUUGGCAUCCUGGACGCCAUUACCAUUAAGUUGAAUGCCAAGGUGAUCGAAGAAGAAGGUCCAGCGACGAAAAAACUGCAGAAACUUGAAGAAGCUCAAUCCCGGCUUCGAAACUCAUCACCGUCGAGUCUGCCGGCGAGAAGAAGCUAAAGAUGGAGCUCUUGUUUGGAACCAACAAGAAGAGUUGCCGAUCGGUGCCGUCAGAGUUGAUUUGAGCUGGUGUCCGCACUUUAACAUAGUUGCGGACGUCCGCUCUCCAACGGCCCUAUACACACACACACACACACAGUUCCUAUCCAGAGCGAAGCUUGCUCUGAAAUUAAAGUGUGAAGUUCCUUAUUUGACUCACUUUUCGGUCAUAUUUCGACAUCUCCACCGUUUUUUGUAGAAUCAAAUGCAUAGAUCAUUUAUGCAAAGUUUCAUCGAAUUUGAUGAUCAUUUGGGUGUUCAUAAUCGUGUUUAGACAAACAGUUAUAGUCAAACAAGUUUAUGGUCUGUUCAUUGAUUUAACCUAAUUCGAUACGUAAACGAUCAUCAAUUUGAAUGAAAUUUUGCAGGAAUGAUCUAUGCAUUAGUAUUAAUAAACAGAACGGUAGAGAUGUCGAAAUAUAACCGAAAAAUAAGUCAAAUAAAGAGCUUCACACUUUAAUUUCAAAGCGAAGUUUCGCUCUGGAUAGGAACUGUGUGUGUGUGUAUAACAUUAGUAGUUUUAUUCAUAUACAAAAGUAUUUAAGAUAAUAAGAAUGGUUUAUUGAUGUAAAGAAGAAAAAAAAUGUCAUUGAGAAGAAAUGAUGAGAAAAAAUAAUGAGAUUUAGUAAUAAAUAAAUAAAAUACGAAGACAAUCAACAAUUCUCCUUAUAGUAGAGAUGGUUAUGUUGUUUUCCUUAUAUUUGGAAACUACAGUUUGAAUCUCAAUGGGUACUUUUCCCCAUUUUCACUAAUUUUGUACGUGAAAGGCCUACGUUAAUGGGUCCCCUUUUUACUUGGGCCUAGUGCAGUCGCACACUGGCACUAGGCCAGGGCCGGGCCUGCCCGUAUACGAUCUUUCAAAAAUGACCAGUAAAAAUGGAGGCUUACCAAAACCCACAAGCUCAAACAAAUGAAUUCCAAAGUUUCACUCCAGAUUUUUAGAGGAACAAAAGAAUAGAAAAGAAAAGGGUGCUGCUUAAUGUACCCAACAAAUUGCUAUUUAGACCCAGCAAAACAAUUUUAUAUGAAAAGAUAAUUUUGUCCUCAUGCACAAUGACAUUAACAGUCAUAAUAAUUAAAGUAAUAACGAAACAACCAACCAAAUUUGAAGCAAUCGAACCCAACAAUCUAAAUGUAUAUGUACCCAGCAGAACAAUCUGAAAACAUUCUACAUCCGAGUAAAACCUUAAACGAGAACCCAUCAUCAAAAUUAAAUACAAGAUUAAAUACAUAUUGUAUAUGUUUAUAUAUAACCCAUCAUUCCUUGUAUAUAACCCAGUUCUCUAGAUUAAAACAAUGUGUUUAUAUUGCUGGUGCCCUCUAAAUAACCAAAACAAACUACUGGUAUUUGAUAGCAUAAUAUGCCUACACGUCCCAGGGAGAAAAGCUGGGUUAGCUAGAUUGAAAAUUUCAUGACCCUUUGCUCCCCAAAACCACCAAUCAACAAGCCUGGUGCUUGAGAUUCCUCACACUGCCCAUAGAACAAUUCUGUAAUCUUGUUUUUUUUUUUUUUUUUUUUUUUCAGAGUAAUGAUUUGACCUCCAUACCCGGCUGACAAUUUCCCGAUCUUGUUCGGCGGGUUUUGAGUUCUGGCGCGCCACGGCGAUGAGGUGCGUGACCUCGAAGCAGACGUUAUCGGUGACGCCAACGUUUGACCACUCGGGGAAAUAUGUCAGUAAUUCGGGUCAGAGCCAAGUCGGGGGAGGAGGUGAGAUGAGCGGCGGCGAGUUGGGGGAGUCCAGCAGAGCGAGUUCCAAUGAGUUUCCCUGCGGAUGUGUUUGAGAAAUUGGAAAAAUGUUGAAGAAGAUUCUUCCCGGAGCUUAUUAUUCUUCCUCGAGGAAGAAAUUGAGUUUUUGCGUGAGUUUUGCUGGGUUUAACAAAGGAAGGAAGGGCAUUAUUGGAAUGUUGCUGGGUGUAUUUAGAGAUUUUAUCAUGUUGCUGGGUGUAAAUAGUUUGCUGGGUCUACAUAGCACUUUGUUGGGUACAUCUAGCAGCACCCAAAAAAAACUUCCCCCAAAAAAAGAAAAGAAAAUAAGAUAAAAAUAAUUUUGCCGGGUCAGGCAGAUAAGAGAUGGGGCCAGGCGGUUUACGUGGUGCGGGCCUUAACCGGUUGUGGGUCCCACCAUUUAAAAAAUAUAUAUAUUCUAAGGGUUAGGCGGUCCAAGUGGCGCACGUCUUGACCGGAUGUGGGGCCCACCAUUUAAAAAAGAAAAAACAAGAAAAAGAAAAACAAACUAGACGAGCUAUCAUUUGUGCUUCACGUUUGCUCUGCUUUCUUCUCUUCAAUAAUCCAUGAUUCUUAACACAAUUGAGCUAGGUUAUCGAAUGACGAUCUUGAAGUCGGGGGAUUUACCAAACCUACUUGAUUCCAUCACAUAGUUUAAUUCAAUUGUAGUCGACUAAACACUUUAAAAGGAAAGAAAACACAGAAUGCAGUUAUUCAUUUUUCUUGUUCUUCAUACUCUUGGAGCUGAAAAGUUGCCGGCAUUGCCGGUUUACCGGGCUUUAGCAUAUGAAGUAUUAGGCUGAGAAAUGUUUAUGUCUUUGAGAUCAUAAAACACCGUGCAUUUUCCCUUUGUGGAUAUUACUGGCUCGGUCUAGAUCGGGAGGACUCAGUUCCUCACACUAUUGUCAAACAAUCCCAACUUUUUCCAAAUUAUUGAUCACCCAACCCCAAAACGACCCAUCGACUAUCAUCAAUACCCUUCGUGAGUGCUUGUGUGACUGCACGUUUAAAGUGCAAUUUCGCACUUACCUAUUAGAUUAUGGGUGCUCACGCGUGAGUUUUUCACCCCCCAUUUUCUUUGGUUAUUGGUUUUUGUUCUUGUUCUCGGUCGUCUUUUGUCAACCACAGCUACUUUAGUGUUUGGGUUUCGAUGGUGGCUUGUAUGGUGUUAUUUUGAGGGAUCUUUUCAUCUGGGGCGUAGGUUUUCUUAUGAUCUAUGUACUGUGAUUCGAUUAGCAGCAGUUACUCGGGCAUCAUUGCUCUGAUUUAGUACUUCUCACUACUUCAUGGCAGCUGGUGGCGAUGGCGACGACAAUGCUAGCGAACAUGGUUGGUGGGUGUGGUAGAUUGAUUGGUAUUGUUGCUUUUAUGUUUUCGGUUGUUAGUUUCCUCUCACUCUUUCUAGUUUGAUCGAGUUAGAGACCCCUGCUCUUUGCUAUUUGUAGUUUCUUAGCCUCGUGUUUUGCAAGCUUUGUAAUUGGGUUUGUCCCUUGAUUAAUGAAUUAUUCAUUUCUCACCAAAAAAAAAAAAAAACAAAAGGGAGAGAGUGAAGCACUAUUUCUUUCUUCAUCCAUAUUCAUUUGAAGCAUCUGUGAUGUUACUAACAAAUCUGAUCACAGAGGUACACAGAAAAUUACAAUCAUCUUCACUUCUAUAUUUAAUCGUAAAAGAUCAAGUUACAAUCGGUGACCUCAUUGAACACAUUAGCUCCACCUCUAAUGGACUAGUUGCACACUUGGAAGAACCGAAGAAAGAUCCCAGCUACACUACUAAACUACCAUUCUAUCAGUUAAAUUGGGAUCUCAUGCAUUGAUAGACUACUCGGUAAUGGGCAGCACCCACUUCUGCCAGUCACUUGGCAAAAGCGUCAAGGACAGUAUGUUCAUGAAUAUCAUCUGAAUUUGUUCUCACCCUAGCCAAACAUGAUUCCCGGUAUCAUCAUUUCCUUUUAAUUUGAUGACGGAUAUAUUAAAAGAUGGCAGGGAACGCAGUUGGUCUUGCUCAAUGUACUCAGAAGGCAACAAGUUGAACAAAUUUCUUCAGAACUGAGCGAGGGAGGUGUGGCUCAGCUGAAAGUAGCUCUAACAAAGUUGGCAGCAGAAAAUUAGUGGUGGUCGUUUGUACAGAGUCAAAGGUCAAGAGGAACAGUCCCAUCAAUUGGCAAAGCCUGCACCAUAAGGGACGACUCCCUCGAGCUCAACCAGCCUAGAAUAAAUCUCAUGGCUGAAAAAAGAAGACAGUGCUCCCUGUUAAAAUAAACAUACCUAAAUUAUUAUCUUAGAUAUAAUGCAACAUUGAAAAUAAACCGACACCAGUUUUAAAUGAGCGAACUUUAAAAUACUAAAAGCUUAACCCAAUUGUUGGCCUAGGCAUAGAUUUAAUUUGUAUGUUUCAUACAACUUAAGGUUCUCAUUUCCAGUACAUGUGCUCAGUAUCCACUAAUGAAAAGGAGAAUGUUAAGGUACAUGACUAGUGUAAAUUCAAAGGACAAACUAUAAACUACAAGAGAUGCAGUAACUGGCCAAAACAAAAACAAUGGAAAUAUGAGGAUUACUAAAUUGUCCUUAUCCUACCAUAAACAGAAGAGAAUAUAAGACGGGAAUACAUGGAACUACCCUUGUACAUUUGGGACAAAGCUGAGGAAGAGGUUGUGCACUGUAAGGAACAUGACCAAUGUUAAUGACCAUGACUUAGAAAAGGCUGAUGGAUGUAUAAUGGUGGACAAUUCAAACACAAAGUUGAGAUGCAUACAUCUUUGUCUCGGACUCAGAUGUUUCAGUUUGACAAUUUUGGCUUAAUCAUGAAAACUUUUACAAGACCAAAGAGCCAUUAAGGCCCUGCAUCAGGUUCUUGUAGUCUUUUAAGUCUGUACUAUGAUUCUAACCACUAAAAAAGAAUCAUAUACACCAGACUAUAUAUGAACAUAUGUGGGGUCUAUGCCUAUGUAAUUCAUUCCUCAGACAUGGUAAACCUGGGUACAUACAGUUACUGAACUGCCUCUGUACAAAAUAACAAAACAUGGAAUCUGAUUUAACUACAAAUGUGAGGACGAGUUAGUGACAGCUCACCAGCAGGCAUCAAUUCAUGGCUUCAACACGUCAGUAUUGUUUUGGCCUGUCAAAAUACAACCAUGCCCUAUGAGAAUUUAUGGGAGGACUCCAGUUUGGUUUUAAGGUUUCCCACAUCCCCCCAAUAUGCACAUAGUAAGAAACCCUCAAAUUUACCUGAACCGAGUGUGCUGGAGACUGCUUGAACACUGUUCUUAUUUUCCUCUGGGAGUUUACCAAUAGCCAAGUUUGAAUUACCAGAAAGGGGAGACGCAUUAAUGCUACGCAGUAUUUUAGCCCUUCUGGAAAAAUUAACAGAGAUAACAAGAAUAUACAUUAAUAAUUUAAUUGAAAUAUAAUUUGAUUGAAAAAGUAAAACAGAAAUCUCUCUCAUAGGAGAUAAAGAGAUAAGAUACAUCCAACAUGAUUUUUGAAUCUCAUACCUGACCAUUUUUCGUUUGAAAGUGCCAGGUUUUAGCUUCGAUGUCCCUUAAACAACAAAUUUAAUUGUUAAUCAUUUUGAAAAUUACUAGUUUUCAUACUUGUAAGAGUUAUUAAAGAAGUUAGUGUAAACCACUCACCAGCCUUCAAAGAUGAUAAAGUUGAAGCUGGUUUACGAUUGCCCCUCUCAGCUUUUAUUAAGGCAAUCACAGAAUCAGCUGAAGGCCCCAGACCCUUUCUCCCCACAAGCUUCACCCCAAGCUUUUCACAGAGGUAAUUCAACCUCAUCUCAUCACCACCUCGUACUUCGCGGAGCUCAAGAGCCUGUUGCCUAGAUAACAAAGUGUAAACAUGAAGCUGCUGCUGCUGAUUAAAAUGUGACUGAAGCUGCUGAAAAAGUAACUUAUUUGAGUGCUGUUGAUCAGGUCUUGAUCCUUCAUGACUCUUCUUCCGAGGGUCAUUAAAUGUCACCCUUAAAAUUGCUGUAGACUUGGGAUCAGCAUUUCUUUGACCAAAAAUAACAGAAAAACUUCCAAAUUCUAAAUCAGGUUCUCUGAAUAAAUCUGCAAGAAGGGAAGCACAAGAAUGAGCAUUCUUUGAUGGGUUCCUGUUAACCUUCAUCCUCAGAGCUCGAGCAUUAGCAUAGUGAGCCAUAUUGGCGGCUUCUCUGAGACCACUAAGGAAAGCUCCAUGCAUAGUUGCGGGAUAUCUCCUAUUGGUAGCCUCACCGGCAAAGAAAAGACGCCCAUCUCCAACACUUUCUGCUAAAAUAUCAUAAUCAUCUCCUGAUGCCCCAACUGCAACAUUAGAGUAAGAACCCAGGCUGAAGGGGUCACUUCCCCAUCUGGUACACACAGUUUGGAUGGGCUCUGGGACACUAAUACCUUGUGGUUCAUAGAUACCUGGAAUGAAAUUUAUAAUCACUUCAAAAUCAGCAGCUACCCUAAUUCUUUAAAUUUAAAACUAAAAAGCGCACCGCAACUGAUACUCAGAAUUUUAUAUGAAAUACAUAUGAUUAUUACAUUAAAACAGGAGUACUGUAAUUUCCUUCCGGUUUUCUUUAUUCAUAUUUAUAGCACAACAUACAUUAUGAUUUUGUGAAUAGUUAUUUGCUCGUGAAAAUUUAAAGGUUGUCAUUGAGAACUAUUAUGAUUAAUUGUGAUUUUAUGAACACCAUACAUGUAUGAGAAGUUUGAAUAAAAUUCUUGUUAAUCGUAUUAGAUCCAUCUAGUAUCCUUCCUAAUUUAAGCUAUAGUAUGAGUACAGAGUGUCCAUUAAUAACAAAACUAAAGCAUAGUUGUUGUAAUGUAUAUUUAAGAAAACAAAUGGUUACCCUUAAGAAUCUGCAGAACCCUGGUCACAGCAUCGGUAGGGGGCAUGCUCUCAAACUUAUGUGCAGCUUCACCUGCUACUAAAGCAAGCAAGAGAGGACCACCAGCAACUGUUGCAUAGCUAUAAAACAGGAAGAAUUCCCCUCGACGGCUUGAAUCAUCAGAGAGGUGGCCGAAGGUAUCAAGAUCUGUGCCCCAAAACACAUGAGGAAAAAGCAUUGCAACCUUAUUCAACAGCCCAAACCCCAGCCUCUUAAUUCCAUCAAGCUUUCGCUGAGGCAACUCUGGAAUAAACUUGAUGGACCCACUCUUCAAAACACCUAGCGGAACAGUGCACAAAACCAUAUCGCCCUCAAAAACCUGGCUUCCAGCGAGAAUCUGUACCCCGUCACUACCAUACCUAAUGGUGUGAACAGUUUUCUCAUACAGGAUCGGCACAUUCUCUGCCAAAGCCUGCACCAGCCGGCCAUUACCACCAGGUAAGAAGCAAUGGUCCCCUCCCAUAUCAUACGGAUCAUCUUGGUCCCAAAAUGCAAGCGAAAGUUUUGAUAGUAAACCGGCAUUAGCAUACUCCAAAUUUGCAAGAUGCCAGUUGAAUAAGUUCAUCUCCUCAGCAUUCACAGCAUUCGCAGAAACCUGCCAGAACGUUUCCAAUGCCGAACCAAGAGACACAUCAACCGAAACCCCACCCAUUGACUGCCUAAGCCUACUUGCCUUAUCUAAAAGUUGGUUAAAAACAGUUUCCACCUUCAUAUCCAUAUCAUGAUCCACAGGCUGCCCCUCUACAUUAUAAAGCGGGCACUUGUCUCUAAUCUUAUGAAGCGAGUACCCCAACUGCCGCGCAACAAUGCCAAGCGGGUUCCCUAACGUACCAGUCAAAACACUACCACCUAAAUCCGCUGCUGCUUGUGUCACCCUAAUCCCUCCCUCCAUUUUCUUAGUAUACACACGCCCGCCCGCACGCUUCCUACCCUCCAAAACCGUCACCUUAAACCCGAACCGCAUCAUCUGCCUCGCAGCAGCAAGACCAGCCAGCCCUGCACCAAUGAUGAUCACACUCGGCUUACUAGCCUCAACAGGAAUCUUCUCUUUAAUAGCUGGCGCAAUCCCAAAGUUAAUAUAUCCAUGCGAAACAAGAUAGUUAUAAGUAGAAUCCAAAAGACCAUGGCAAUGCUUGGGUAUAGAGUUCACAAAAAUGUCCUUGGCAACCCAAUUGGACACAUUUUCGCGCCAUUUCGCAAUAAUAUGGUUCCGAAUAAGAAUGUAGUUCACCUGCUCUAUUCCCCCAAUCACUCUAAUAAUUCCGAAAUCGAUUUCCUCCUCGGUGAGGGAAUCGGCCGGAAACCCGGCCGAGAGCGCGAUCAGGGCCUCGGCCGUGGACUCCUUAUUGAUCACGAUGAUCUCGUCGGACAUAUCCGGCGCCGGUUUCGAGCUAGGGUUUUCCACAUUGUGUCUAAUCGAAUUAGCUGGAAUUGAGAUACCAGAAGAAGAAGCGAGACUGUUACCGUUACUAUUGACGCCGCCGUUGAGGAAUUGGGGGAGGUGAAACGACGUCGCGGGACGAUGAGGCCGGCCGCGCCUCCGCUUCUUCGGGACCGUGAAUGAGAGUGGAUGAGACGAGCUAGGGUCUUCGAGUGGGGUCUGACUUGGCGGCAGGGUUGGAUUAGGGUUGGGGUUAGGGUUAGGGUUAGGGUUUUCAGGAGGGACGACGAGGGCGAAUGGGAUAGGGGGGAAAGACGAGAAGUCGUCGGGGAAUUCGUUCGGAGGAUUCAUCCGUGUGCGGUGGUUGGCGGCAAAUUUUUGGGCACGGUGAACUUAUGUGAGGUGGGUAGUGAUCAGAUACGGGUAAGUCUUGGCAGUAAUUUUGUGACACGUGUCCGUGAGGUUUUGGACUUUGGUGAUUGUGGAGUGUGUGACCGACUGGUGCUUUGGGCAUGCUGUCCUUUUUUUUAUUUUCAUUUUUUCCGUCAAAUAUAAUGAGACGAAUAAAAUUAGAUACACAGAUAUUAUUCAGUCUAGUGAAAGAUUUUGAGUUUAGUAAUCAUGAUGAUUACCCUCGUAUAAAUACCAUACAAUAGCAAAUUACAUAUAUCAAAAAUAUAUGUGACUGGUAACUUGUGACAACUCGUCAAAUUUAUUUUUAUUUUAAAAUAUAUAUUUGAUCGUAACAAAAUUUUUAAAAAUCCUCAGUUCCUGACAGUCACUUCUUAAGACACUAAAAAUUAAGAAAUACAUGCUUAUUGAGAAAUAAAAACUUAUCACAAGUUCACUUUCAUUUUUAAAUAUAUAUAUUCAGCUGAUUAUAGAUUGCAACAAUCUGUUUAAUAUCGUAAUAAAAUUGAGAAUGACUUCUGAUAUCUGACGAAUGCUUCUAAAAAAUAAACACUCGAACAACACGAUUGCCUAAGUGGCCGCGAGCCAGCUAACCUUUCAGGAGGACCUCUGUGGAACAUUUGAGCCAUGCCUAAAAAUAGCAAAAACCAUAAAUGUACGUAGCUCCAUUUUUCCCAACGGUCCGACCCUUUUUUGCUUUGUACUUUUUAAUUUCUAAUAAACAAAAAAAAAAAAAAAAGGUUGAAAGCUGCUUGGCUGUUUCAUACUUUUCACACAGACCACCGUCAUAUGGGAUCCAUUCUCACGCGCUUCCACCUCUCCAGCUUCGACUAUCCGAUCCACACCUGAAGCUCCGAACCCGACCCGCUCCAACUCCUAAAGCACUCACACUCAUUUCGCUCUCUCCAUUUUCAUUCCUCUUCCCAAUUCCACAUCUUCAAAGCACCAGAUUCAGCUAGUCUUCUCCGCCAGGUAAAUCCUCCUCAAUCUCUCCUCCAAUUCUUCACUCUUCAAUCUUCGAAUCAAUCUCUCCGAUUAUCAUGAUCAUAACGAUUCUGUUUCUCUGUUGCGAUUGGCGUUAAUGGAAGCUCAGGCGGCCUCUCAGAAUUGCUUCAGCUCCGGCGGUUCUGUUUCCGUCUCUCUACUGGAUCUAGAGGUACCUCUUUUCGCUUUUGCUCCGCCAUUUUUGCAUUGUCUUUGAUUGCUCUAGAAGUAGUUGUUUGCGAAGCUCGGUAAUGCUCAGUUUAGUUGCUCUAUGAAGAAUAGGUAGGAAAUUAGGAGUGACAUUUUUGGCUGUGUUGCUUAGAAGAAGCUCAAAGUUCAGCUCAGAAAACUAGCAUUGCUUUUGUUAAUUUGUUUCGAAAGUGUGUGUGUGAUUGCUCUACGUUUCGUUUAAGCUUGAAGCAGGGAGUAGCAUAUGUAGACUUUCGUUUUUUUUUUUGUAUACAUGUUCUGUGUUGGAUAUGAAAUAGAGUGUUUCAGAAGGUUUGAGUUGUGCAUUAUUUGCUGUCUAGUGGUCUGCGGAAUUGGCACUGGCUGUUUUCGAGAGUAUUCAGCUUUCAAUUUAGGUGAUAUGUCCUCUUAACCUACAGAUAUUGUUUUUUAUUAUAGGAAUACUGCUGGACGGAUAGUUUUGGUGUACUAAUUGAGGAAACCACGUACUCUGUCUUCAUUUGGGACUAAGGCUAUGUCAGAAUGAGUUGAGUUUCACAGCGUCGGCUGCGGUGAAAGCUCAAUAUGGGAAUAUUUGAUGGAUUGCCUGUGUCUCCAGACAAGGAAGUAAGUUUUUUAUUGUAAUUUUUUAAUUUUUUUAUAAAGCUUUAUAAUGUGAAAUCACUUUUUAUGUGUGAAUUAAUUGCCUAUUGAAAUUGGAAUGUUGCAUUCUCAUCACAUAUAAAAUAUUACACAAGAAGGUGCAUGUGACCUUUUAUGAUGUACAAGGAAAUGCAUGAAAUGUUUGUUCUUAAUCUAUAACAAUUUGAACUCGGCAUCCUACUGAAUAGUAUAUAUAAUACACAUUAUAUAGUUACUUUUGGACUAAUAAUUUUUAUUAUUUAUAAUCUGUGAGUUGAGGGUAUCAGUGCUGUGGAUGCUUUUAUCUCUUAUUGUAAGAUAAUUAUAUUUACCGGGUUUGCGUAAAAUAUGUUUUGGAUACUUGAAGAGUUGAUUAUGUGUCUUGGUCCCCAAAACUUCAAAGUUCAUAAAACAAGUUGGGCUAUUGUUGCCUGUUUCAUUUUCCAUGAAAUUUUAGACUUCCACUUUAUAAAUUAUCACAAGGACUUGAGUUUGCCCAACGCACUGGUUGUGAGAGUCCAUAACAUAAAAUUAUUGCUCGUCAGAUAAAGAAAGAAAAUGCAGGUUCCUUAGUGUUUAGGUUGGGCAUUCUGCAUAAUGAAAAUUUUGAACUGAUGAGCAUAAUCUUGAUGCACAAACCUUUUAUAAAGUAAAGUUGUACUGUAGUACAGUUCACUAUCGAGAAGCAGACCCCAUUAGGAUAUACUACCAUUUUUAAAUUAACACUGUGGUAUGUAUACUGUAAUUUAAUUAUACCUUCUGAUAUUUGUCCUGUGAUGUUAUGCUAAUUUCAGUAUCUGAGGGAAGAGAUAUCAAGAAUAGAUGAGAGCUGGGCUGCAGCUCGUUUUGAUUCAUUACCUCAUGUUGUUCAUAUUUUGACAUCCAAAGACCGUGAAGGUGAAGUCGAGUUUCUGAAGCAGCAAAGUGAUGUUGUUGAGGAGGUUGUGGAUGAAGUUGUACACCAUUAUCACAGCGGCUUCAACAAAGCAAUUCAAAAUUAUUCUCAGGUUUCUUAUAUUUUUUUUUUCUUGUUCGAUAUAUAUGUAAUGUGUCUAUUCAUCUCUUAGGUACUCUUUUUUCAAUUUCUGAGAUUUAUAGCACUCAUGCUGAUAAAACUUUGAACCCUUUAGGUGUAAUUACUAAUAAUGCAUUUGCUGUAUGUUCAUUUUUAAGCUGGGUGUGAUAACUAAUAAUACAUCUUAGUUGUAAGAACUUUUUGGAUACAUUCUUUAAGAAUUGCUUUAUAAAGUUUAUUGGAUUGAUUAUAGUCUUCGUAUAAAUAGUUGGCUGCCUUUGGGGAAACUCCACAUAUUCUGGUUUCUAGGGCACUGAUUGAGAAACUGAAAGAAUGUUGAAUUUUAGGAAAUAGCGCUUUUGACUAGCGAGAAGAUGCUUGAUUUAUGUUCAUGAUGAUAUACUUGGGCUGCUUUUGGGUGAAACUCUUGCACCUUCUGGUAUCUUGGACAGUGGUUGAGAAAUUGAAAGAAUGUUGGACUUUUGGAAAAUAGUGCUUUUGGCGAGGGAUUAGAGGCUUGUUUAGAUGAUGUUAUUCUACUCUGCUAUUUUUUAUUAUCUCUCCUUGUUUUAUAUACCUAUUUGCAAAAGGAUUUAAGUAGCCUAUGAAUGAUUCUUGUUGUAAGGUGUGGAUGUUGGUAAAGAGAGGUCUUUUGGUGAGACUAGAGGCCUAGGGUUGACGUUAUGUUUGUUUUGUAAUGGUCUGAGGAUUCAAGGUGGUUUAAUGGUGGCAUUUCUGUAUCUAGAAAAUGACCUUGUUAAUGAAGCUGUUGGGGUGAUUUCUAAUAUGGAUAGUUUACUUCAGCCAUAUCAUAAGCUCAAGUACCUCUCACGGUACAUUUCUUCUUGGAUUGUUCUUUUGGGAGAGUGAUGUGUUAAUACUAGUGUGGUGCUUCAAAAUGGUAAAGGUCCUAGGUUUGCCUACCCUCACUGGUGUACUCAUUUGCAAAGGAGCAGCUGAAAUGAUUAUUCCUUUUUCUAUUUGUCUUCCUAGUUCAGUGGCAGUUGCUAACUUUGGUGCUACAAUUCUCUUCAUAUUCUUUUGUUUUUUAAGCUGUAACGUGGUGGGGUGUGCUUUCAGAGGGUGGUAAUGGUUUAGCCAUAUAGGUGUUCUGUGUCACACAUCUGUUAGGCGUUUCGUUUCAGGAUUUCUUAGGGACAAGGCUUGAAUCUAGUCUUUUCUUGAAUUGAGAAGUUUACCUUUCAUUUUGAGGAUGUUAUGUUUUUCUUGGAUGUUUCUUUGAUUUACUUGUCUCUUAGUUUAAUGUUUAUCCGGCUGUUCUGCUUUGAGUAUAUUUGUCAAAGGUGUACUGCUGGUUCAGGCCAAAAACAAGCAAAAUAUAUUUAUUUUUUUGGGGGAAGAAAAGAAAUGCUAUUUUCUCACUUUUUAUAUAAUUCCUUCCAGAUCUUGCGGUUGUUCAGCGAAUCUACCGAAAGUAUUGGUGUCCUGAAGGUUGAUUUGGGUGAAGCAAAAAGGCGUCUUAGUUCUCGCAAUAAACAACUGCAUCAGUUAUGGUACCGGUCGGUUACAUUGCGCCACAUAAUCUCCCUAUUAGAUCAAAUUGAGGGAAUAUCCAAGGUUUGUCUCAUCCUGUUUCCUGUUUUCGGGCCAUAUGUGGCUCAGUCUUAGUUUCAUGGUAUUAGUUUACUCAUGCAUAAACAUAAUUUAUGACCAUGCAUCCAAAACAUGCAUAUGUAAUUUUAGAUGCCUGGAUAUGUAUCCGACCUGACAAGUAAAGGCUUGUUUUCACACUCACACUCAAACCCAACCCAGACAAACAGACACUUAUUGACUUAAAACUCAUAAGCUACCGCUGAUAAUCAGAACACACCCACAUGUGCACACACGCACACAGUCACUUUGGCUUUACUACUCAUUAGUUAGCACUCCAGUCAGAUUUAACAGAUACGCACCAACACACUGAAUUGUCUUUGACCUUGCAACUCAUGAAUCGGCUCCACAGUUGUAUAUUUUAUUUACACAUAUAUAUGGUUUGAUGCAUCUCUAUUAUCUAGUAAACACCUUGCCACCAAACUACUAGCAAAACAUUUGUCCCAACUGCAUCAUAUUGCAAAAGAUUCUAACGGACCUAUUAUUAUCCUGUUCAAAAUCAGGUUCCAGCUCGUAUAGAGAAGCUCAUUUCCGAAAAGCAGUAUUAUGCUGCAGUUCAGUUUCAUGUUCAGUCGAUGUUGAUGCUUGAACGUGAGGGGCUUCAGAUGGUAGGUUUGUCAACCCUUUGCUUUAGCAAUCUUAUCACAUAAAUUUUUGUCCUUCUCUUAUGGUGGCUUCGUGGAAGGUUACUUUCUAGUAUGUAUACCUAAAAUCAUAGAUCCUAAAACAGUAAAACAUUCUCAACUGGUCAAUUGUCCAGUUUGGCCUCUUUAUCAUUUGAUAUCAUGGUCAUCUUCUCUUUCUCUUCGAUGAUUCCGAGAUUCUCUGAAAACUAUUUUGAUCACUGCAUUGUUAUCCUGCCAAUGUGUCUUUAAACUGUUGGGGUUUGAACAGAAGCUAAAUAGAAAUCCAUGCUGUCUAUCUUUUACUCCAUUUUCCUUUCAUCUGUUAUUUCCUUGAGGCAGUUUUGCAUUGGUCGGUUUAGUUGAAAUGAUACCCUUUUUUUUUGGUGAUUUGCUUAAAUGGGUAAUUAUGAUUGAUGGCCCAGGUUGGUGCCCUUCAAGAUGUUCGCUCUGAGCUAACAAAGUUGAGAGGACUUUUGUUUUACAAAGUGCUUGAGGAUUUACAUGCUCAUCUUUAUAACAAGGGGGAAUAUAGGUAUUACUUAUCCUUUGUUCUUCUUUGUCUACUGUCCUGUAUGUUAAUAUCGCUUUGGCAAUAGCGCACUUUCAAAUAUAGAUAUUCAAAGAAAUUAAAAAAUCUUUGAGCUCGUUUUGUUUAUUUGCAUACUUAAGUGGUGGUUGGGACUUGUGAGGUCCUUUGGUGACUGAUACUUGACAAUUAUUGAAAAUCUACUGGUUACCCAAUUUUGUACCAAUUCAUGUUGGGUGUACUUUGUACAAUUGUUGAUGCUGCUGGUUGCAUGCUGGCCUUGUGAAUUCCUCUGUUUUAUCAUCAAUCUGUUUUGGUUUAUCGAUGGACUAGAGGGGAAAGAUAAUAAUAAAAAUCCUUAGGAUUGACCCUGUUUGAUUGUAAAAUGGAAAUGGUCAAGACCUGUUUUUAGUUUUCUCUCAAACUUCUUUGUCCCCAAAAUUUGUGUAUCAAAAGGGAUUCAAAUUAAUCAACUGGCAGUGGUAUUUCUGUCCGUAGUUUUUAACAGUGUCUGAAAUUGAAUUCCCCCUCCUCCCUCUCAUCCCAAGAUCAAAUUAAUAGUUAACCCAACCAACCACAUGUAUAUUAUUAUAUUUUCUGUUUUUCUUCUGUGCUGGGCCUAGAGUAAGUAUCUGUCUCUCUAAUUGACUCAGAAAAUUAUUUAUGAUGAUUUUGAGACUGAAUAUUCUUGAAAACUAUUUCAUUGUCCUUAAACCGAUUCCUGUAUGUAGCUCUGCUGCGUUGAGCUUGCAUGAAAGGGAAGAUGAGGUACCAACCACCACAGCCGUUGUAUUUUCAAAUUCACAAUCCCUUUCUCGAAGAACCAGGCAGUUAAAAGGUGAUAAUCAGUUUGGUAUUCAUGGAGAUGGAUCAUUUAGAGCGGGUUCUAUUGAUGGAGGGUAAGAUUAGUAUUUAUCUGUAACUGGUUAAGUCUUGCUAUAAUGUUCUGGGAAUUUGUCCUACCUAUAUUUGUUCAUCAAUUGCUCUGCAUUUGAAAGUUAUAUUGGUUUUUAAAUUGAGGCAGCAAAUUUGUUUAACUUUCGUCUUCAAUCGAAGUAUCAUAUUAUGCGUCACAUCAUCAAAUGUUCCAUAUUCGUUACUGGUCAUUCUCUACAGCUGCUUUUUUCUAUGAAAUUAAUUUCUUUCUCAAAGUAAAGCCUCCUGGAAAUGUAUGAGACAAGUCUUAUGUUCGUCAGGAUUAAAGUUGUUCUGAUAAGUGAUUAAGUUAAUAACUAGUAUAGUUCAGAGAGAAAAUACUUCUUAUAGACACAUAGCUGCUUAAUUGCUGUUCUAACUAUACUUGAAAUUUGGAAAAAGGUUCAUUCAGUUGGUAUGAUUUCUGAAUACUAUAAGCAGGCAGUUGUUUAUUAGAUAGGUCUUUCAUGAUAACCUAUAUCCAUUUGCUACUGUGUAAUCGAUUGAAAAUCUAAAACUAUUGAUCGUACAGUGCUGAGUUACAUUUAUUUAUAAAAGAUCAUGAGUUCAUAAUGUUAUUGUUUCUACUUCUAUUCAGUAAACUUCUCUAAAGUUGUGAACGUUUUUAUCAAUGCAGUUCUUCUAUUGAUGGUCCGGACGAGGAGGGCAAUCCGGAAUUGCAUGAUGAAGCUACCUCAGAUGGGCAUUCAACAUCAGCUAGGGCCAAUGGUGAUGUCAAAGUUGUUCCUCAUCAAAUGCCAACAUGGCUUCAGCACUCCACUCCGGAUGAAUUUCUUGUAAGUGAAGUGUUAAUUUUUUUUUGAUGAAUCUCUUCUCUGUACUGAAAGUUUUGGGUUUGUACUUGGGUGUAGGAAACAAUCAAGAAAAGUGAUGCGCCGCUUCAUGUCAAGUAUCUGCAGACUAUGGUUGAGUGCCUUUGCAUGCUUAGGAAAGUUGCAGCUGCUGGCGCUAUGAUAUGGUUCGAGUCUGGCUGACUUAUUAUUCUUAUAUGGUUUUAGUUAUGGUAUUUCUUUCACCGAUCUGUAUGUUCAAGAUGACUCAUCAACUUCUUUGAUAUUGUGUUCUCUCCAAUAACAGCCAAAGACUGCGACCUACUCUUCAUGAUAUUAUCACAUCCAAAAUUAAAACUCAUGCGGAAGUAGUUAAUUCCUCGAGGUCUGGCAUCGGUCAGGCUGCCAGAGCUGCUGCUGCUGGUCAACAUUCGAUAAAGGGACAGUUAGAAAGUUAUCAUUUGCCAAAACAGAAACGUCAGAAUGGAAUAUCAGUAGCUGGAACUCUAUUGGCAGCAAGCCCUGUCUCACCUGUGAUGGCACCUGCAGGGAAAGCACAGGCUGCGGCAAAAGACCUUCUGAAUUCUAUUUUGGAUGCUGUUGUUCGGAUAUUUGGUGAUUCCUUUUAAUCACUAAUGUGUAUUUAUUUCUAUGCCUUAAGUUUGAAUUUUUUUGUUAUGACACUGAAACUGAAUUCGUUUGUAUGACGGCUCAGAGAACCAUGUUGUUGUUGGAGAGCUUUUAGAGUUAAAGUCAUCUCAACAAGCAGACAUGAAUACACCAAAAUCAAUGCAAACAGACAUAAACAUUAAUCCUGAUUCUGAAUCAUCUCAAGUUACUGGAGGCUACAGCAUUGGUUUUUCCUUGACAGUAUUACAGGUAAUGUAUCUUCUUCAAUUUCUUAUGAUAAAAUAGCGGAUGGUUUAAUCUUUUGAAUUUUGUAAAACGAACCCUGCAUCAUGUUUGUCUUAAGACCUCUUUCAUAUCUUUUCCUUUUUUUUUGUAUAUGUGCUAAAGAGUGAAUGCCAGCAACUUAUUUGUGAGAUUCUGCGGGCAACUCCUGAAGCUGCAUCUGCAGAUGCUGCUGUACAAACAGCUAGAUUUGCGAGCAAGGCCCCUUCCAAAGAUAAGAGGCAAGUGAACUUAAUUUGCUUCCAUGUUACCAUUUUACAUACCUUAAAUUAUUGUAUCUGAAUUUUUGAAUUUUAGAUUUUGUCAAUUUUCUUUCUAGUAUUCUGUUUUUUACUGGGACUGAACAUGUGUGGACAAGAAAUUAUGUAGAUAUGAAGGGACAGUGAACCUCAGGUUCAACAACCAAAUUAUUGAACCUGAGGGUUAACUUCUGUUUAGGGACGGACAUUGUUUUGGCUGGACUUUAUUUUGGGCAAUAUUAUUUGUUGUGGAAGAGGGUCUGGUAAACAUGUUUGGUGAAUUGAUAAAAUGGUAUGUGGUUGUUAGGGUUUAGGCAGUGGCUUUGGAAUGUUGAUUCUAGCCUGGACAGUUAUGCUUCCUAUAAAUUUAUGUUGUGAUGUUAGCCUCAGGUGACCUUGGGAAAUUUUAGGUUCAAAUGGGUUUGCCUUUGUAGCACAUGUGGUGUUCGGGCGUCAUGAGUUGCCUCUUUAUGGUGGAGUUUGUCAAGCUGUUACGUGGGUUUGUUAAAGCCACAGUAAUGAGGUGGUCGAGUAUUUUGCUAACUGUGGUGACUACUCUGUAAUCAGUUGUGACUGCUCGACAUCUCUUAAUAUCAGAUGCUUACCAUUUUAUCUGGGUUUUCUUCAUUUCUUAACCAAUCCUUGGGUUGCAGCCUGAAACAUUUGCUAUAUGCUGAAAUUUUAGUGACUAGAAAUGCCAAAUAGUUUAUAUGCAUUUAAGUUAUGCCUUGGUAUAGCAUUUUUAUUUAGCUCCCUUUUCUUCCUCUUGAGCAUAUGUCUGCUUUUCUAUCCGUUUUUAUGGCUCAAGCAUUAUUUUCCUGAUGACACAGGGACAGUUCAGAGGAGGGUCUUACCUUUGCUUUUCGCUUCACUGAUGCUACUAUUUCCGUUCCCAACCAAGGUAUGAAGAUUUUGCACUUGCGGUACCUUUUCUUCAGACAGUCUCACAGACACCCACAUACUAACAGUGUUUAAAUACCAUACCUAUCCCCACUAAAAGAUCAGCAUUGACAGAUGGAUAACAUUGAAUUACCCCCAUCCUUGAGUCAGAUUGACCUUGUGGUUUCCACAGCCCUUCUAUACAGUUUUCUGUAAUUUUAUACAGUUCUCUGUAAAUGGUGAUUUUACUAGGAAAGUGAAAUCCACACUCCCCAAAUUGUAAUCCACACUCCCACUUUCUAUUUUUAGCCAUCAUUUNNNNNNNNNNNNNNNNNNNNNNNNNNNNNNNNNNNNNNNNNNNNNNNNNNNNNNNNNNNNNNNNNNNNNNNNNNNNNNNNNNNNNNNNNNNNNNNNNNNNNNNNNNNNNNNNNNNNNNNNNNNNNNNNNNNNNNNNNNNNNNNNNNNNNNNNNNNNNNNNNNNNNNNNNNNNNGCUAAAAAUAGAAAGUGGGAGUGUGGAUUACAAUUUGGGGAGUGUGGAUUUCACAUCCCUUUUACUAAAUAUGAAUACAAUUAAUGUUGCAAAUUUACAAGGGCCCAUCCCUGUGUCAGACUGUUGGGUAUAAGAAUUCAUUUUUUGACAUUUUCUGUUUUACUUUUGUAAUGAUUAUAAUUAAUAUUUUAUGGUGGCUAUCUUCAUUCUACAGGGGUUGAUCUCAUUCGUCAAGGCUGGAGUAGAAAGGGCCCAAAUGUAUUACAAGAGGGUUAUGGGUCGGCCGCUGUCUUGCCUGAGCAAGGCAUAUAUCUAGCAGCAUCUGUAUACCGGCCCGUUAUUCAGGUUUUAGAUUUGUUCCUUCUACUUUGGCCCACAGUUCAGAAUAUGCUCUGAAUCAUAUUCUUUUGUCCAAUCUACCAUCUCUCUGGUUUUCUUUUCUGACUUUAUGUGCUUACAGUUUACAGAUAAGGUUGCUUCUAUGCUUCCUAAAAAGUAUUCCCAGCUAAGGUCAGCCUCAAAACCAUAUUGCUCUUUCUUCUUUAGUGCAUGUAUUAACUUUCAAGUUAGCAUGCAGUGGUAUUUUCAGAUUUAUAGUUCUUUUCCCUAUCAGAUAUUGUUGCUUUCCAUGAGAAGUUAUAUUGAAAAGCAAAUUAAAACAAUUCAGGAUAAUCACCAUCUUAUAUAAUGAACCCCCGCUGUAAUAUUUUGGAUGGAAGUGUGCUUUGGACCGAAAAAGAGUGAGAAUUUUAUCUGUUGGUUCCCUACUUUUCUAUAUUGGACGCUUAAACACAGAAGCAAAAGCAUGUAUGACCAAAAUUUGUCCUUCUUGGUCAGAACUGAGAACUGGUAGAAAAAAAUAGAAGCAAACAAAUUCCCAAAAUACAGUAUAAGUAAUCUGAUCAUACGGAUUUACAUAAUAUUAUUGCACAUAGGUUUCGCUACGUCUCAAAUUUAUCUGAUCCAUUACCUAGGUUCUUUCUGUUUGAAGUUGGUAGUGCUUAGCUUUUCUAAUGUUAUCAGUUUGAUUUGAUAUUCUCCACAGCUGAAUUGGCUCACCUUCUUUGGUCAUCUUUCAUUCUCUUUCCUAGUCAUGGAUUUGGAUGUUACAAUUCCUCUCUUUCAUUUGCUUUAUUAAUACCAACUUCUGGACCUGCAGUAAUGAUGGUCUGCUGGCUUUUGUGGAGAACUUUGUGAAGGACCAUUUCUUACCAACGAUGUUUGUAGACUACAGAAAAGGCGUACAACAAGCUAUAUCAAGCAAGUUCUAUAACUAAUUACUCUGACAUGACUUAUUUCUUUCAUUAACUUGCAUCAGAACGCAAUGUUUAUUUAUUUACUUAUUAUUGUAACUAUAUUUUUAUAAGCAACCUAUUUGGAAUAUGUGCAUACAACAACAGAAUACAAGUCAUCAAAGGAUAAACUUACCCCAAAAACAAAACAUAUCACCAUAAUAGAAAAAUUAGUGGGCCAGAUAGUUGUGAAGGACAAGUAAUGGAUAGGCUUUUAACUUCCCAGACAUUUUUUUAAUCAGCUUAACGAAAUAAAAUUAUAAUUACUCUUAAUCUUUAAUUUUUUUUAAUAAACUCUUAAUAUUUAUAAAAACACCUGCAUUGUAUUUAAUUUUGACAUGUUGUAACCUGUUCUAUAUGUUGAGGAGCAUCUCAGUGCUUUUCAAUUCUGAAACUGAAAAAGAACAUAAAAAAUCAAAGACCAAAGGAAUGAUGAGUAUGACGGUCUUUGAGAAACAAGGCUCUUGGGAUCUUUUGCAAUUAAUUUCUGAUCUUUUGGAAAUAUUCUUAUAGGUCCGGCUGCAUUCCGACCAAGAGCUCAUGCUGCUGCCUCUUAUACUCCUUCAAUUGAGAAGGGUCGGCCCGUCUUACAGGGACUUCUGGCAAUAGAUUUUCUAGCAAAAGAGGCAAGUAUUAGCGUUUGCUUCUGAUAUAUAGGUCUUGGUAUCAGUCAACUUACUAUUUUCCUGGAGAGUAAAACGUUGAUUCUCUGCUCCAACCUGGAUGAUUUGUUUACCUAAUGCUUGACUCAUUCACUCUAGGUGCUUGGUUGGGCACAAGCUAUGCCUAAAUUUGCUGGUGACCUUGCAAAGUACGUUCAAACUUUUCUGGAGCGAACCUAUGAAAGAUGCCGGACCUCAUACAUGGAGGCAAGGAUACCCUUUAAAUGCCUUUUCUAUUGACUUGAGACACCAUUAUAUUUUUCCAUAGCGAUAAAUAUUUUCUCCCUCAUUGUUUUCUGCCUAUGUUGUUUAGAUUUUAUGGAAAUCUUAAAAUCUUAUGUUCUUCUGGAUAAAUAGUUGCUUCUUUCUUUUUUUUUGGCUCCAUGGGCCAGGAAAUGUAGAGCUCAAACAUACUGCAUAAAGAUAAUUAAAAAUUUAAAAUGAAUCAUAUCUCACAAAUGUGAUCCAAACACUGUAUUACCCGGUUGCCUGUCAUACCCUUAUAUAUAGCUGUCAACACUUAUGAAUUUAUGUGCCUCCUGUUAUGAGUUCUUGCUUUAUUUUUUCAAAAUCAGUACCUCUGACAAAUACUACUAAGGAUGGGUAUUCGCUAGAUAUGGCACAUCACAACCAUGAAAGUGCUUCCAUUAAUAAUUCUACUCACAUUCUGGUACUUCUUCAGGCUGUUCUGGAGAAGCAGAGUUACAUGCUUAUUGGCAGAUACGAUAUCGAGCAAUUGAUGCGACUUGAUCCUGCGAGUGCAUAUUUACCAAAUGCAUUUGGGCAGUCAAACAUGGAAACCCAUGCUUCCGAUGGUGAAAAUUAUGAGGUUGAACUUGAACUGAGUGAGUUAUUGUUGAACUUGCGGCCUAUUAAGCAGGUAUCCUUCUACUUAAGUGAUUGCAUGUUCACUCCCUUUGUUCUUUUUCUUAGUUGAAUAUGUCGGACUUUAACUUGUCUGCAUGUUUUGUUAGUAGUGAGGUUGUGAAUGAAGUACUGAUAAUUUCCUUUGAUAUUAAGAUUAUGAAUUGACGCUGUAGUUUUAACCGUUUCAAAGGAUAAUCUGAUUCGUGAUGACAACAAGCUGAUAUUGCUGGCUUCGCUCAGUGAUUCAUUGGAGUAUGUUGCAGAGUCUAUUGAAAGGCAAGUUCUCUCAUCUGAUUGCAGUCCUGAAUUAAUUCUGAAUUGAUUUGGGUUAGCAAGAACCUUGUUAGUUUAAGAAAGAGAAGAAUCAUGCAGCUACUUUUCUGAGCUGUAUGCUAAAGGAAUCGUUAGAUAGUUCUUUCUUCCCUACACAAUGGAAAUAUACCAAAAACUUACUUUGUCCUUGUGGAUACAAACAAACUGUUUGCAGAAGUUUGAGCUUUCACCCAUUCUUGCAUGGAGUUCUUGGUAGUAUAGUAAACAGGUUCUCAAAAGUAUGCCUUAAAUCAGAACUUUGGUAUGGUCUUAUAUAAAAAAACAAAAGAGAUAUAUUAUAAAAUAUAAUCAUAGUAGAAAUUAAAGAAAAAAUAUUGCCCUGCAAAAGCCACCAAGAUUCUGGCCACAACAUGCAUGCUCAAUUUCCAAUAGCAGUUUUCCCUGCUUAACCAUUUCAUGUAUCACCGACUAAUUAGUUGCUGACGACAACAUGUAUGAUUAAUAAUAUUUAAGUUCCACUUCACCAAAAAAAAUAAAAAUUAAGUUCCUGAAAUAUUAACAAAGAUCCUGAAAUAAUAAUAAAUGAUAGUAAUAAUAAAGAAAAUUUAUUUUAAAGGUUACUAAAUAUUUAAGUUCGGUGGUUGACCUUCUUCUUUACUCCUUUCAGAAUAGUUAGCGUACAAAGUCAUGUCUUUGUAACUCUUCUCUAUC